This 46877-nucleotide long non-coding RNA is filed under the name Cucumis sativus (cucumber). Its description in RNAcentral is "long non-coding RNA (CSAT_LNC000524)". The record is from RNAcentral. Lineage: Eukaryota; Viridiplantae; Streptophyta; Magnoliopsida; Cucurbitales; Cucurbitaceae.
GAAAAAAAUGGUUGUCUUAGUUUAUUUUAAAACGUUAUUGUUUAAAGUAAAAUCAAAUCAAAUACCUCCAAAUUAUAAUUAUAAUUUUAAAAAAUUGUCGAAACUAUAUAAUUAUAUAACUUGUGAGAAUUACUGUCAUUAUAAUUUUUUAGAUAACUUAUAAACAAGUGACAAACUUUGCUUUCCUUUCCCUUACAAUACUCUCCCACUUGAAUCAUACCAUCAUUUCUCUGUCAAAUAAAAAGAAGAACAGCAAAUUUUGUUUUGUGAUAUUCGGGUUAUCAUGUAAUGAGUUUGUAAUGCAAUCCAAAAAAUCUACAUUUUAAUUGAGUGAUUGGAUCCGAGUGAUAACACAAAAUUCAUUUAAUUCUCGUAGUUUUACCCUAACUUUUAAAUUUGAAUGUUUUAUAAAUAAAAACAAAUGAAUUAAUCAAAUGUGACCAAAUACAAUGUAUGAUAGUUGGUGAAUUCAAUUUUCAUUAGUACUUAAUUAUUAAAAAAAUUGGUGAGUCCAACCCUAUAGCCAUCAAAAAAUACCACAUGCUUCACCAACUUAUGGCAGGGGGAAAAUGAUAUAUAUAUAUAUAUUAUAUAUAUAUAUAUAUAUAAGGCUUUUUUUGGUAUUAUGGAACAAAUAUCUUAACUAUGCUAAAGUUUAUAUUACUUUAGGUCAAAAAAAUAACAAAGAAAACAACAAAAUUUGAUGACUUUGCAGCCUUUGAUAAUUCUUCUUUAAUAUUCAUAAUAAAAGUGAAAAUUUUAGUAAGUUUGCAUAAUUAAAAUUUAAAAAAGUAAAAUUUUAGAUUUUAUAAGUAAUAGACUUUAAUAAAUUUUUAUAAUGUGUCAACAUGUCAUUUAACAAACAUUAAUAAAAAUUUAUCCAUUAAUUCUAAUAAAAUGUUACAUAUAUACUACAAACUUUUGAUACUCAUCUAACUUAAUUUAGACUUGAGUAUUAUAAUUUUUCUAGCCAUAUUUCAUAUUCCAAUAUUUAUUUAGGUAUGGUUUAAUUUGAUCAUUUAUAUACUUCUAAUUCCUAUGAAUCAACUUUGAUAUUGGUAAAAAGUUAGACCAGGAUAACUAUUUCAAUUUUUGUUUUUGUUUUUUAUAGUAUUUAAUUUAAUUUUUUAUUAUUUAAAACAAAAACUAUAUACAACGGCAACCUUUUUUCUUUGAAAAGAAAAUAUACUUUUUAUUUUUACUUCUUUUUUCAUUUUCAAUUUUUGUUCCUAAUUUUUAAAAUUAAUUUAUGAUUAAAAAAAGUAAAUCAAUUAUCAAAACACAUGCAUUUUUUAAUUUGUUUUUCUAAAGAAAACAUUAUUAACACUCCAAAGGAGUUGUUUGACUCAGUUAAUAAAUUUAGCAAAAAAAUGUUGGGUGGAUAAAAAAAUCAAUCACCUAUUCGUAUUUACUCACAUUUUUUUCAAAAUAAUCACAUUUCUCACACGUUAUACGUGUUAACUCCUCUAAUUACUUUCUUAUACUUAUUACUAACUCAACCUUUUAUUUUUAUCGUUAACCAUAUGCUUUCUUAGAAAUCUAAUGUUUACAAGUAAAAACUAGAGUGUACAAUUAUAGCCAUCAUUGUAUUUAAAGUGUGGUUUCUUUUGUUCCAAUUUGAUAAAUAAUAAAUGGAGGAAAAGUAACAAAAAAAAAUUAUAAUAAUAAGAUGCAUAUCACCUCAUUUUUAAAUUAAAAGAUAACAAAUUUUAAAAAGAAUAAUUAUUUAUUUAGUUACUUGCGGCAAUUUUCCAAUAAUAAAUGGUAACGCUUCUCAAUUUAAUUUUUAUUUUAAAGAAUAAAAUUUGGAUGAAAGUGAAGAAAUAAAAGCCGUUAGAUUUGGGGCCUCUAAAAAUGACUGUGGAGGAAGUGGUGGGGCCCAAGGGGUUGGAUCAAACCGUUAAGCAUUCUCCGCAUGUGAAUUUCUGAAGUGGGCCACGUUGGUACUGGCCCCACGCGUGUACACUAUCGACACGGCGUCUUACACGUGUAUGAAAAUAAUACCCUCCACGUCAUCUUCUUUGAUUUGAGCUGUUCAUGAUAUCGAAAGAAUCGACAAAUAUUUCUUUUUUAAAAAAAGAAUAGUGGUUUUGUUUUAAUAUCUUUUGAAACUGAUGAUUCAAUUCCAUUUCUUGUUAACUUCAUUUUUUAUUAUUUUUUUUUUGUAAAUGAACAAAAUAAAAAUAAACAAUCCAACAAAAGACACCGAGUAAAAGAUAAUAAUAAUGGACGAUUUUAUCUUUUCAUAAAUUAUAAUUUAAUUUUCAAAAUUAACAAAUUUUAUCAAAUAUUUACCACCUAUAAUUAUUGAUAUGCUACACACUUGUAGAAUCCAAAAUUUUAUCAUAACUAGUAAAUAUUUUAGUUUAUUUUACUAUUUUUAAAAAUGUAACAAUUUAAAUUUUAUUGUAAAAAUUAGUAUUAAUAUUCGAUGAAAUAUUUUUGACCUCAACCUUAGCCAAGAAUGAGGUUGAUCAGCAUAUACGGUCCUAUUUGGGUUGUGAGAAGAUGAUGGUAUGGAUCCAAAACUCAAACUAACCUCCUUGGCCUCAAUAUAGAAAGAUGAGUCAGGAUGAGAUUAAGGUUGACAUUCUCCAUUUGGCAUGCACUAACUCAUUCAGUUUGAGAGAUAGUCUAUCUUACAUAUAGGAUUAAAAAACUCAUAUCGUAAUGUUAGUUGGACAAAGAUAAAUUUUAAGUAAAAUUAACCGUACGUAGAUACACCAAUAUGGUUACAAAGUAACUGAAACUUUUUUCUAUUAUAUAACUCUUAUCCAUUUUUCUUUGUUGUGCAUAUUCCCUCUCCUUUAAAUUACAAAUUCUAAGUGUUUGUAUUCACUUAACAUUUGACCAGCAUUUAUAAAAUACAAUGCCUACAUCAUAAAAUAAUAAAAGUCGACAUUUAAUUUUAAAAUUUUUUAGGUUGAAAACUAAAUUAUUACAAAUCUAAAAAUAUAAGAAUUAAAAUGUUCCACUAUUAAAAUUGUUAUAAAAUUAAAAAUAUAGAAAUUAAAUUGUAACAAAUCUACAAAAUUAGAAAAUUAGUUUUUAAAAAAAGUUUCAAAAACUAAAUCAAUAAUUCACUUAUAAGUUUAUGACAAAACUUUGUAAUUUGAAUUAAAAAAAUUAGUAUUUACAUAAAACAUUUUAAAAAGUAAUAAUAAAUAUUCUUCAAUUUGGGAAUGUUGACUCAUAGGAAGAAGCUAAGAUGAAUAAUGUGUAUCCAAAAAGUAGUUUUCAAUGUACUUUAAUUCACAUGGAACCAUAAGCCAAAAUGAGAGGUAACAGCCAAGCAGCCAUGGCAGCCUGCCACAACUUGUACAUUUAAUAUUUCAUUUUUUCUUCAAUUAGCCAUGGCUUUAUCCAAGAAUUAGAACAAAGAAUAGGAAUAAGAGCCGAAGACAAGGAUAGAAUGGGCAAUCGAGAUUGGAGAAUUUUUUAGAUAAUUGUACGAAUGACAACAAAAAUUAGGUUAGCUAGAAAAUAAUACGAUCAAUUUCACUUUCAGAAUGUUAUUUUUAACGUCCAUUUAUAUCAACGUGAAAUAUCAAAAUUGAUUAUUCUACACAUGUGAUAGGAUUUCGCUUUCACUUAUAUUUAUGACUAUUAUUCCGUUUUUUUUUUCGCUUUGUAUCGAUUAACUAUCAAUGUUGUAAUUUUUUUUUCUUGUCGUUAUUUGCUUUCUCUACUACUAGUGAACAUACAACGAAGAACAAAGAGUUGUUGUGAGAGGAAAGAAAACAUCAUUUAGUCAUCACGAAAGAAGAAAUAAAGAAAAAUGAAAGAGAAAGAGGAGCGAGUGUGAGAAAUAACCUAAUCUGUAUUUGUCCGUGAUAAUCCAUUUUGGUAAUUUCACACACUUAUAACGUGGAAAUACAUGAAGUUUUUAAAAAUUGAUAAAAUCUUAAUUUUGACAAAAAUUUGAAUCAUUUCAUCCAAAACCUAAAAUUUUUCGAAUAGAUUUUUUUUUGUCUUUGUUUUUCUAAAUAUAUUUUUAAAAGUUGAUUUAGUAAUUUUACUUGAAAGACAAUGUGUUAAAGUAAUUACAAGAAUUUUGAAAAUUAGAAAUGGAAUUGGAAUAUAAUAAAGUAUGGUAUAAUUGGAAAAUUAAAGGGAUUUUGAAAAUAGUCAAAAGCAUUUGCAAAUGUUUCUUUUGUGUUGAAAAAAACUAACUUAAUGGCUUAAGUGUAUACAUGAAUGAUUAAAGCAUACCUCGAAAUUACUUUUAAAAUGUAGAAUUACUUUACAUUUUUUUUCAAGUAUAAUAAUAGGGGUAGGAAAAAAUUUAAUUUUCAAUUCUUUUAGAAGUACAUGUACGAGUAUUACUAAGUUAUACUAUUUUUGUUAAAUAUAACUAUCAAAUAUUUGUCAAAACAAUUUAAUUUAGUCGUAAAUGACAAGAAUUUUCAUCUAAAAGGUUCAAUUCUCCGUCUUCAAAAUGUUGUAAUAAAAAAAGAGAACAUUCUUAAAUACAAUCUAAAAAAUAAAUUAUUUAUAAAAUAUAAAAAAUAUACGUCAAAUUCUCUCAAGUUCGUUUAACUUUUUCUUUUGCUAUAUGCGUAAAUAGUUUCAAUUUUUUUUGUUAUUCAAAUAUUUGAGAAUUAAUUAAUAUACCAAUCAGCAAAUUAGCAAAGUGAUGGUAAUUAAAAAAGUAAAGUAAAAUUUAAUUUAAUUGAAAAUCUCAUAAGCAAAUGAUUUAAGUUGGAAAUUUUUUAAUGGGGCCUUCUUAUUUAUUUUUUUAAAAAAUUAUAAUAGGAUUUUUUUUAAAUGUGUUGUUUUUCACUUAUUUAAAUUGGUGACUAAUUUUAGUUUUUUUCAUAACAAAAUAUUACGUAGAAAUUCACAAUAAAUAAUAGAAUUCUUGAAAAUAUUUAUAAAAUAGUUAUGGUGACUUAUUACAUUACUCAUAAAUCCUUGUAGGAGUGAAAAACACUUAUUAAAAUCCAAACAAGUUAUUAUAUAAAGCUUAAACUCUUUAAAAUAGUUAUAUUUCUAAGAAUCACUUUAUUAGACCAAGCUUAAGUUAAGUCUAAAUAACUUCAAUAUAUCAAUCUAAGAAUAACAAAAAGAAAAUGUGGCAGCAAUUAGUCUCAAACAAAAAAGUAAGAAAAAACAAAUAAAGAGAAACUUCAAUCAAAAUUAAUUUCAACCAAAAUUAGGAAGAAGAAAAAACCCUAACAUUACAUAACCCAUAAUUGAUCACAACUAAAAUCGACAAAUAGAAACUUCAAUCCAAUUUAUCACAACUAAAACUUGAAUCACAAUCAAAACUUCAAUCCAACUUAUCAUAUCUAAUUUUUCAUAACAAAAACUUAGAAUCUUCGAAAUAGACGCACAAGAGACAUUUCAUACCAUAAGAGAUACUUGGUGGUAGUGGUGGCAAAGGAGACCAGUGGUCGAAGGUGGCGUCGAAUCAGUGAAACGAUGAGCGACGGAAAGUGACAGAAAUGAUCUCAAAUGAGGCGCAUGGGGAAUGGUCGAUCUGUCUUAUCCUCUUCAACUAUUCACAUAUGUGAAAUGUAGAUCUAAAAGAGGGUUUUAAAAGCAAACUCCCAAUGUUACACAAUAAGCGUUGGGUGUUCUCUCUAAAUCCUGAUGUAUAUUUUAAGCCAUCGAAAACUCCUAGAACGCACAUAUAAUUUGUCGACUAUUUUCCUCUCAAAUUUCAAUUUAUACUCUUUAGUUGCCAAGGUCUUGAUACGACACCGAGAGUUACACCCUAUUCUCAACGCCUAUGAUAUAACGUCGGGAGAUAUAUUGGAACUUUCAACGCCUAAUCUUCCGACAACGUUUUUAAACAUUGGGAGAUCCUCAAUUCCUUACACUACAACACCUCUAUAAAUAGAUUAAAUUUCAUGAGACAAAUUUGAAUCUUACUCUCAUACUCUAACACUACAACAAUGUUCAAAAUUUCUCUUUUAUAAGUCACAAUCUUCUCUCGAUAAAAAAUAUAUAUUGUCGAUCUCGCUAGAAGAUAGAUGUGUCAUUUUCAUCCAAAUUUUGUCAUCAACAAUGUUAUUGUUAUCAUUUUGAAUUAUAAACAACAUUUAGAAUUGAGAGAUUUGAACGUUGAGAUAAUAUAUUUAAAAGGCUAAAAUACAAUCAGAACUACUAGAAUCAUACAAGUACUAAAAUGCAUGUAAAAUUGAAAACGAAAUAAAAAAUAAAAUCGUAAAGCAUAAAAAAAAAUUAAUUAAAAACUGUCCAAACGAAGUAUAUUUAAUAUUAUAAUUCAUAUUCACAUUACAUUUCAAUUUCAUUAUUAAGUUGUAAAAAACGAAAAGAAAAGAGAAUAUUUUAUUAAAUGUUUUUGCUAUAAGUAAAUUAACUUUAAUAAUGGUGUAUGACUUUUAUUUACUUUGUUAAUUUAUCUUUUUACCUUUCUAUCCACACGUGGCUUUGGCCGGUCGCCUUCCCUUUCUUCUCUCUCACGUUUGGCAUUUUUACUCUUACCCUCCAAUUUUCUUUUAUUUCUUUAUUUAUAUAUAAUAUUCUCUUUUCAUUUUUAAAGAAAAAAUGUUUCAUAAAUCAUAUAAACAAAAUUAAUUAAUUAAGAAAUUUUAUGAUUUGAAGCAAUAACCUAUCCAUGUGUUCUGGCUUGCUUACAAAUUAUAGAUGCUAAUAUUAAUAUUAAUCUGUACAUUUGGGUUAAAUUACUUGUACAUUGACAUGUCCAAAAAUAUUUUAAUCAUUGACUAAGUGAGAUAUUAAAUAUGGUAAUGCACGAUAAUAUUUUAUUUAUUGUAUAUUUAAUCUAAACUUAUUAAUUCAAAAGUUGGUGUAUAUUUAGACAUGUAUCUUUUUUAAGUCAAAUGUUUCAAUUUUUUUUAUAUCCAAUUUGUUUUUAUGGAUAAAAAUAAGUAAUAUUAUUUUUAUAUUAUUGGAGAGGGAAUUUAAUAUUUAGUAUUCACACAUAAUGCAAGCGGACAUAAAAUAAAGUUUGAAAAUUGAGUUUCCUAUUUAAUUUCAUUGUUAUUGAAUAUGGACUUCGUGUUCUAAGAGGAAUAUAGAAAAAAAAAAUUGCUAUGUAUUACAAACCAAAAAAAUAGAAAAUACAUAUAAAAUAUGAUAGAAAUUUAUAUUAUAUCAAUAUAGAUACCGAUGCACUUUUAUUGGAUACAAAAUAUAUUUUUUUUAGAAAAUGUUUUGAUUUGAAAAUGGAAAUGGAUGUAUUUAACUUUUUUUUUAAAAAAAAAGUUUAAUGACAAAUUUAUAUGCUAUAUAUAAUCAGGUGUAAAAUUAUGAAAAGCUUGAAUAUGAUGUCAAGCUUUUAAUCUUUGUAAGCGCUUCAAUGUACAAUAGUUUAAGUACUUUUGACUUUAGUGUCUAAUCAUUUAUCACUUUUUGUAUUGGUCCCUUAGACUUUAUAUGUUUAAUUUUUGGUAUCAGUUUCAUUAAAUUGAACCUUUAGUCUCUAUCAAAUAUCGUAUACAGAUAACACAAUAUGUUCUAUUUAGUAUUGAUAAAGAAUAAAAGUUAACUAUAGUCUUUAAAUAACAAAUAACCAAAAUAAAACAGACUGUGAAGAAAAAGAAUAAAAAUGGACAAAAGUUUAAUUAUAUAUACAAUAUUUGUAAAAAUAUUGUAAAACAUCACAAUAAAUUGUUAUACAUAUCUUUUAUGAUAUAAAAUACAAAUUGUAAUUAAUCAAGGUCUAUAUUAGAUCAAAAUAAUUCAUUAAAAAAGUUUUGAAAUUUUUGUUUAAAAUUAUUGUGGUCAUGUAAGGUCAGUUAUUAAUUCAAAAGCUAUAUAUUAUUACAACACUAAAAUUGUUAUAUAACAAUAAUCCUAAAAUUACCAAAACAAUAUCAAAAUCCAAACUAAAUCAUUAUACCAAAUUUAUAAGAUACAAUAUUUGAGGGGAAAAAAAAUCUAAAAUUCGUGAUUUGUUUUCAUAAUAUUAUAUUUCUCAUUCAAUAAAUUUUGAAAUAUUUAUAAAAUAGUUAAAAAUAAUUUUUGGAUGAUAGGUAUAAAUAAUAGAAUUUAAUUAUUGAUAGAUUACAAUAUCUAGGUUGAAUGAAUUUAAAUUACAAUAUUGACUGUUAAAAUUGAGGGUGUCUAUCAACAUUUACCAUUGAUAUAAUUUAAUUUUUUUUAUAUUUAAAAUAUAAAAAUAAAUUUAGUUAUGUGUAUAAGAUAUCUAAAAUUUGAUAGUUGAAUCUUAUGUUAAAUAAUAGAUUAAUGAAUUCUGAAAUUCUAAAUUGAUUAAUUAAUUUGACUAUUUAUAUAUAUAAAUAUGUGGGAAAAAAUGAUUGGAAUUUCCAAAAUUGAAUAAACCAUUACGACAGCAAAGCCCCUGGGCUCUUGCUUUGCUUUGCUUCCCUUCGCUUCAUUCAAAGUUUCGUACAGCGCCAGACUUUAAAGAUAGAACAAGGAGGAGGAAGAAAAAAGCUUUCCCAUGGUGGUGGCCGCCAUUGAAGAACCUUCAUCCUUCAUGGCUUUUCCAUAUUCAAAUCAAUAGCCAAAGACAGAACCGAACCCACAAGCAUAAAUCGUUGAAGAUUAUGAAACACACAUAACACACACAAAAGAAAAAAAAAAAACCCCCCGUAGAUUUCAUCUUCAUAUAUUAAUAUUUUUUUUUUUUUAUAUCGAGUAUUAUCACAUUGUUGUAAGGUUUCGUAGAAGUUUUGUCUUAUGUCAAGAAUCAAAUUUCUCUCCUUCAUCAUUCUCCUCACGUUAUCGCUUUUUUGAUCAUUUUCCACACCUUUCUUUCUUCUGUUGUUACCUGUUUGUUUCCUUCAACCCUAGUGUUUAGGUUUUUGGUUUUGAUGAUCCGUUGGUUUGUUCCUUUUUUUUCGUGUUCUUCUGAGGAAGUUUGUGAAUAAGGACGGAAAUCAAGUUAUCUUCGUUGAGGAUUUUGUGGGGGUGGGGUGGGUCGGUCAUUUAUUAGUAGGGUUUUACCGGGAGAGACGUUGGAAUCAGGCAGAUUUUGUUAGUUCUUCGUGGUUAUUUUGCUGGGGAUUGGGAUUUUCGGUUGAAGGUUGUGGGGGUUGCUGUUGAAUUGAGUAGUUUUGAAGGUUGGUUGAUAAACAAGAACUCUGUAGACGAUAUUAGCUUCUUUUAGGGAUUUUAGAUCAGGGUACUUUUAGCAGUGAAGUAACGAUUUGAGAUUUUGGAUUUUAGUUUAGGGCUAAGGUUUUUAAUGCUUGGGAUUCUAAAGUUUAGCAGCAACGGCGGAGCGUAAUCUGGAAGAACGGUUGAUUUGACUUUCCUUGCCGUGCCUCCGCCGUAGACGACGGAUUGGUUCAUCACUUUUCUUUGUGAAAAAGAAAGGUUUAAUUUGGCUGCUUAAUCUUGUCGGUCUUCAUCCUGUGGUUGAGAUUCUUCGUUGUGGAUAAGAUGAGCUCAAGCGUGACAGAUUCUGGUGCAAAUAGCGGCAAGUUGCUGGUUCAUGUUUCUGAAAAUGGACAUUCAUUUCAGCUUGACUGUCACGAGGGUAUGCUGGUUGAGGAUGUGAUGCGUUUGAUUGAGUCGGUCACUGGGAUUAACUGUAAUGAUCAAGUUAUUCUCUCUUUGGAUGUUAGACUUGAAUCGCAGAGACCCCUUUCGGUUUACAAGCUUCCAGCUGAUGAUCGGGAAGUUUUUUUGUUUGAUCGAUGCAGGCUACAAAGCAAUUCGCUUCCGCCUCCACCGGAGCAGAUUGAUAUCCUUGAUCUUGUUGAGCCGCCAUCACCUUCCUCUUCUCAAGAUUCCCAUCCUUUAGAUGAUGCAUCAGACCCUGCUUUGAAAGCUUUGCCUUCUUAUGAGCGUGAGUUCCGUUACCAUUAUCACAAAGCUCAUAUGAUAUACAGUAGUACAAUGAUGAAAUAUGAAUGCUGUGAGAGGCUUUUGCGAGAGCAGAGGGUUCAAGAGAGAGCUAUAGAAGUUGCAAGGGGUAAUUUGGAUCAAUACUAUAAAAUGAUUACUCAGAACUACACAGAUUUCAUGAAGCGCUAUUCGCAGCAGCAUCGUAUUCAUUCUGAUUUGUUGAUGAAUUUGGAUAGAGACAUUGGGAAAUUGAGGUCUGUUAAGCUUCAUCCUGCCUUACAAACAGUCAACCGCAAGUGCUUACUGGAUUUUGUAAAGGAAGAUAAUUUGCGGAAAUCAGCAGAAAAUUGCAGCAGUUCGCACAGCCAGUUUGAGAACAAAGUUUUUCAAUUUAAGGACAUAUUCAACGAGGUUAAGCGGAAAGUUGAGGAUUUGUUUUCCAGCAGGGCUUCUUUCUCUAUAAAAAAUUUGGAACUGAAUAUAAAGGAUCAUCAGCGGUAUAUCAGCGACCAAAAGAGUAUAAUGCAGUCCUUGAGGUUAGCUUCUAUGUACUUCUGCCAUAGCUCAAGCAUCCACACCGUCCAUACUACUACCAUCUGGUUUUGUCCUUGGCGUGUGAAUUCAAUACUUUUUUCUUUUUUCACUUAUGUUUUAUCAUCUGGUUUUACCAUUACCAUCCCCCUCCCAAUUAAAAUUUUACCUUUUUUUCUUUUUUCCUCGAUCCUCUCUCUGUAUAUUCAAUACUUUAUCACUUAUGUUUGUAAGUUCUUUUUAGAUGGUGACGAUAGCUACUUCAAUCUCGUGUUCAUGUAUCUGGUACAAUCUGAAAUUAUGUCUAUUACAGUAGUUUUUUUGACAUAGAAAUCAUCUCUGUUGCAGUAGUUAUUAACUGUUCUAAUGUGUUUGGGAGGUUGCUAGGUUUAAUACUUCCUUGCAGGCGUUGGUCCCCCCUCCUCCCCAAUCCUCUCUUCGUGUAUUCAAUACUUAUUUCUUAUGUCUGUCACUUCUUUCUUAUAUUGAUGAUAUUAGUUACUUUAAUCCAAUGAUUCAUGCAUCUGAUAAAAUUGGAAUAUUGUUCAUGUUACACAUCUAAUACACUAGUUUUUAACUGUUGAAGUGUAUUUGGGGAUCGCUACGGUGGACGUUUUUCAUUGUGUUUUUGUAAUUAUGAGCAUGGCCUUGAUUUAUUGAAUUGGAGUCAUUUUCUGUAGUUAGGAUUAGACUCUCUUUUAUUAUUUUUCUUUUCUAUUUUGUGUAUUCUUUCAUUUCUCUCUCCCCAUCAGCAUGGUUUUUACACAAAAAAAGUUCAAAAAAAACUGUGUGGUGUGUUGACAAUGACUCUAAAGUUUUGCUUGUUCAUAAUAAUGCAGCAAAGAUGUUGACACUGUAAAGAAACUGGUGGAUGAUUGCUUAUCUUGUCAGUUAUCUUCCUCACUUCGCCCUCAUGAUGCGGUUUCGGCCUUAGGUCCUAUGUAUGACGUCCAUGACAAAAAUCAUCUGCCAAGAAUGCAAGCUUGUGAUCGUGCAGUUUCCAAACUACUUGAUGUUUGUAAGGAUAAAAAGAAUCAAAUGAACAACUUCUUGCACUAUUACAUGCAAAAGAUCGCUUAUAACUCUUACAUCAUCAAAGAUGUCAAAUUACAAUUUCCUGUUUUUAAAGAGGCGAUGGGGCGUCAGGAUGACCUAUUUAUGGACCUAAAGUUAGUGCGAGGGAUUGGUCCAGCCUAUAGAGCUUGUCUUUCUGAAGUUGUGAGAAGGAAAGCUUGCAUGAAGCUUUACAUGGGUAUGGCUGGUCAAAUGGCUGAAAGGCUUGCAAGAAAGAGGGAGGAUGAAGUUAGAAGGCGUGAGAUGUUUCUGACGGAACAUGGUGGAUACUUUCCAAGAGAUGUGAUAGAAUCCAUGGGACUAAAUGAUAUUCCUAACCCGUGUGAUGUCCAUAUAUCUCCUUAUGAUGAAUGUUUGAUUGAUGUUGGUAUCUUAGACCUUGACCGUUAUGCCCCUGAGUACUUGUUAGGAUUCCCUUGGAAGAACGAGAAGCAAGGAAUCACUAAGGACUCCUCUAUAAAGUCGAUUGGAGCUUUGAGUUCUGGUGAGGCUGAAGAAAGUUCGAAGGAUACCUUUGAGAGUUAUGGGUCUGGUGAGCUUGUUGAAGGUUCUGAGUUAAUAGAGAUUGCUGGAACCAGCAAGUUGGAAGUUGAAAAUGCAAAAUUGAAAGCUGAACUUGCGUCUGCUUUAGCCACGAUAUGUUCAUUUUCUUCUGAAUAUGAUUUAAGUGACGAUAGCAAACUUGACAGUGUCUUAAAGAAUGCUGCUGAGAAAACAGCUGAAGCCCUGCGUCUUAAAGAUGAGUAUGGAAAACAACUUCAACGAAUGCUUAAAACUAAGCAAAUGCAGUGUGAAUCAUACGAAAGACGCAUUAAAGAGUUGGAACAAAGACUGUCAGACCAGUAUGUGCAGGGGCAAAGUCUCUCAAGUAAUGUGGUGUCUGAUUUUUCAGUUUCGGCUGUAAAGAGUGGUGAUUGCAAACCACAAAUCUUAGGUGGUCCAGAAGCCCCUGCACUUUGUGUAUCUACUUCAGAGCCAAUGGAUGAGGUUUCUUGCAUCUCAAAUUCACUAGAUGUUAAGCUGGGGCUCUUUGCUGAACAACCUGGCAGAGUGCGUGAAGCAGUGGAUGAAAAUAUGUUGGAUUCCCGUGGUGAUCAGAAUCCUCAUUUGGAUUCCUCAAUGAUGGAACCAAAUCGUGAAGAAUUUCAAGACAAUGAUAAAUAUGUUAGAGAUAAAGUAGCAGGGCAGAUGGGAAUAUCUCUGACGAACAGUUCCACAGCUGAGAGCAUGCCUCGGUCUCUGAAUGUCUUACCUUGUGAAACAGUAGAAAAUCCCAAUUUGGAAUCUAAUAUUCCAAAUGGCCUUCUGCUGGAGUUGCAAAAUGCGCUUGCAGACAAGACCAUUUUGUUGAGUGAAACUGAAACCAAACUUAAAGGUUCUUUGGAGGAGGUUGUCGUACUGAAGAGAGAUUUGGAAGCUAGUAGGAAACUUCUUGAUGAAUCUCAGGUACUAAUUUAUUAAGUAACGACCCUUGGCUCUGCUCUAGACCAUGGGCCUUUUGAUCGCCUCUUAAAGAUUUAUCUCACUUGGAGCUUUGUUUAUAACUAGUGACCAAUGCUUUGACAGCCUUGCGUUCAUUUUUACCAUUUCUGUGACUUCUAGCUUUCUCUCAUAUGUUUCUCACUUUUAUCCAGCCAACUAUUUCCUUUCUUUUUAUUAUGCAUGGAUCCUCUAGCCCUGUUGUCUUGGUAUUAUUCAGUCUUGAUUUACAUGAACAACCCUACAAAUGGACAAGAUGGAGGUUAGAUUAAUAUUGACUCUGAACCCAAUUCGUUAGAUCACCUUACUAAUUUAUAUUAGGGAUUUUUAAGCAUAUUAAAUUAAUUGUAUCAGAAUGGUUGUCAUUGUGACCAAAUUCUAGGUCUCUUGGGGAAAUUUGUUAGAAGCAGUCUUUUGAAUCUGGAUAUAACUUUGGAUGAUCAUGGUAUUUCGUUUUGCUCCACUCUCAAAUAUUGGGGGUGUGGAUAGAUGCUGUCGAUUUGUCUGCCUCCAUUAGUUUCUAAAAUUUUUAAAUUGGAGAAGAACCAUCUCUUCUUCAUUGCAAGUUUAAAAGCAGCUGCUGGAAUCAGCUAGUAGAAACGUUUUAUAUUUCAUGGGUUUUCCCAAACCAGAUUGGGGAAGGGGAGCGAUGAUCCAGCUGUUUGUUGUGACUUACCGAUGGGAAUUAACCCCAUAGCUUUUUGUUUAACUCUUCCAAAACUAGUCAAGGUAACUUAUUUGAAAAGAACCAACAAUACUUUUAGGACAAACUAGGGAUUUGAUUGACGUUUAAUUGUAGGUAUUCUAAUUUUUAAUACAUGUCAGCUGUGAAGCUUUUCAGCAGUAGCAUGUUUGUGUUUGGGGGAUAUCUUAUCCCUCUCCCCUUUUCUUGUUUAUAGCGAAAAUGUCCAGCUGAUCAGUGUCCUGUUGGAAAGCGAGGAAUUAAGUAUUUCGUGAUUAUAUUUUAUCCCUCUGCUUUAUCUUUCUGGAACUGUGCCUGUGACCCUUAAUCCUUACCUAGCAGUCGGACACGGAUGCGUUCCAACACACUAUAAAGUGUGUUUGAAUUGAAUUUUAUGUUAAUUUACAAAUUUGGUCCCUACAAUUUUCGGGUUGUAUCUAUUUGGUUCUUGAACUUUCAAACAUGUGCUGUAUGUUCCUAAAUUUUCAAUCUUAUGCCUAGUAGGUCCUUGAAAAAUUCAAAUAUAAUCCAAUAUGUACAUGUCACUUUUCUUUAUCCUUGCCUCUUCAUGAAUUGGAAGUUCCAUUUCAGUCCUUUUUGCUGUUAUAUCUUUAAGAACAGAAGUUGCCAAGAAUUUGGAGAACAAAUCCUUUUUCAAGAGAACCUGCCCAUUUGUCAUUCUGAAAUAUUGUCCAUACUCCUUUCUCGACCUUAACAACAGAUGAUCCCUAAAUAAGGAAUAUAAAUUUGGUGUGACAAAGAGGUAUUAUUCUUAUUAGAACUCAUGUCCACAACUCACAAGGACUUCUGAAAACCAAUCGUUCACUUGCCUGGACAAACAAAUUGGGUGGUGGGCCUAAUUCUCCCAAAAUGAAAGACCAGCCUCCGUAAGCCAAACAUGCAUUGGAGGAAAGAGUUAGUAGAAAAUUUCCCUCUCCUUAGAAUAUAAACAGAGCCAUUGAUAAGUGGCACAAAAUCUACGUACGAAAUAAGUUGGCCAGUUUGCUAAGCUGGAGAGUAACUGUCACUCCUUGAUAAACAUUUUUUGUCAUUUUGUUUUUGCAUUGGAAGGUCAGUUUCUAAAAUAAAAUAAAAAAUCAGUUUGUCUUUGUCAAGCUUCCCCAGGAUUCUUCACUACCUCACAGGUGUGAAUUUUUGUUAUAUUUAAUGUGUUGGCUGAUCAUUGUGAGUAUAAUAUGUAAUGUUUAUAAAUUUCUGUAAAAAAGUCCUCUUUUCUCGGAACAAUCUCUUAGAAAACUUCUAGAAUUUGUUAAUUUUUAAAAUUGUUAUUAUAUGUAUAAUCUAGUCUUCAUAUUUCUAUUGUGAGUAGAUAAAAAGACUUCAGUCGUUUUCCCAUUCACCAAUAAAGUUCCAGAGGACUGCCUUCAACGCCAAUAAUACCGUGCCCACCUGCGAAGUGAAUGAAUUAUUUGAUAUUCAAUAAUUAAAAACUUUAAUGCAUCUGGAAUCCUAGAUUAUCAUUGGUGUAGGCUUUCCGGUAUCUCCUUUUAACUACCAUGGUUUUUUUAAACAGAUUUCAUUGAUAUAUGAAAUGAAAGGAGCUUAAAGAGCUUUCAUCAUACCAUAGUUUUCUGUUGAUGGUUAGUUAGUUUUCAGUUUCCAUGAGUUCUGAGUUGGAUUGCUUACAGCGGAAGCCCAAGAUUAGUUUUACGUUACUAUACCUGUGAUUUGUCUAACUGUGGUUUUUCAUUUCUAUUUUAGUUUUCAUUCAUCAUGAUCAAUAAUUUUUUUCCACGUCAAUGCAGAUUUUUGUUUAAGGUUUUUGUGAUCAUUGUAAAUCAUUCUUUAUCCAUCCUCGCAGAUGAAUUGUGCCCACUUGGAGAAUUGUCUGCAUGAAGCGAGAGAGGAAGCUCAAACCCAUCUUUGUGCAGCUGCUCGUAGGGCUUCAGAGUAUACUGCACUUCGUACAUCAGCUGUGAAGAUGCGGGGCCACGUUGAAAGACUAAAAUCUUAUGUUUUUGCUCCGAAUGGAGCGGCUGCUUUUGCUCAUUCGUUACGCACUUUAGCACAAUCUUUAGCCAAGUAAGUCGCUUUUUUCUUUCUUUCUUUUUUUUGCUUAGUUACUGGUUUCCAAACCAUUCCCCUUACCCACACUAAAAGGAGAGGAGCAAAUGCCACCUUAUACCUAGUAUUCCGUUGUUUUUCUACAUGCAAAUGAAUGCAUUUCUGCUCUUUCAAUUUUUUUCUUUAAAUAUUCAUGUGUUUUAAAAUGCGCUUGUACUGUGGUGUGCAAUCCUCCUAGUUAUAAGAUUUAUUUAUUAUCAUUUUCUACAAUACGUAGAGUCGAAUCUCUAACCUCGAGCUUGAUACUAGUUGAUAAGCUAUUGGUCAUUUUUUUUAUAGUUAUGAGAUUUAGUUCUAGAACUAUGAACAAUAUGUAGAGUCGAAUCUCUAACCUCGAGCUUGAUACUAGUUGAUAAGCUAUUGGUAAUUUUUUUUAUAGUUAUGAGAUUUAGUUCUAGAACUAUGAACAGCAAAUUUCAUUUUAUUUACCUUUACAUUUAAUUCUGAAUUCUAAAGAUCUUGUGUUUCAAGUAUCCUUUUUAUGAAAUGUUUUAUCAGUUAUUUAUUUAAUUAAUGAAACUUACCUAGAAUUCUAUUAGUUCUGGCAGUGACAAUGAAAAUGAUGGCACAAAUGAAUUCCGGCAAUGUAUCUGGGCUAUAGCAGAAAGAGUUGGACAUUUGGUCAAACAACACGAGAAAUACGCAAAGCUUGAAGCUACCAACGAACAACUUGUCAAGGAACUGGAAGAGAAGAAAGAGCUUGUUAAAACUUUAUACACAAAGCAUCAACUCGAGAAGCAGGUAAUCUGUUUGAAUAUGUUGUUGGUUUAAGUUCAGGUUCAGAUUGCUCAUAAUCUGGAUCGAUAUACUGAAUUGAAUUGCGCCAUCUUACAGGCAAACAAGGAGAAGAUUUCUUUUGGUCGAAUGGAAGUCCAUGAGAUUGCUGCAUUCGUUAGGAAUGCAGCUGGGCAUUAUGAGGCAAUUAAUCGUAAUUGCGCCAACUACUACCUGUCUGCUGAAUCCGUGGCUUUAUUUGCUGACAAUCUCCUAACUCGUUCUAACUACAUUGUUGGGCAGAUUGUCCACAUUGAACACCAAACUGUGAAACCAUCACCGCCUUCUCCUCGGCGUGAUCAUGGUACGGUGGAUCAAACUGAUUGUGUGAUCUCCGACUCGGGGACUGACAGGUUGACCUUGAAUUCAGGUUUAUCUUCGAACCCAUACGGUCUCCCGGUCGGGUGUGAAUAUUUUAUAGUGACCGUAGCGAUGUUACCGGAUACUGCUAUUCAUUCAACAGCUUCCUGAUCCCUGCAAACAACAGAGUCUGACAUGAUGGAAGAUCCCAAGUGUACAUAUCAAUAACAUUGAAGAACAAUUGUUGGGAGGUGAACCUUUAUUUUUCUUUUGUACAAAAUGAUGGUGGAAUGAGUUUUUAACCCCUCACUUUAUACCCAUCUCUCUAUGUAAAUAUUUUAAAACACUUUUUUAAGUGUUGAAAACUGUGAAUAUUAUUGCCACCUACUCUUCUAGUUUGACACUACUUUGAUGACUUCAUAUCUAUAUAUAAAUAUUAGUUCAAAAUGCCAAUGCUCAGCUAAUUUCUCAUACCCAUGUCUUCAUCAAAAUCUUAUUCUCUCUUGGAUUUUACAAGUUUUUCCGGGACUCCUUUUACUUUUCUGAUUCUGCCUCUUGAUUUUUUGAAUGGAUGGCCUCUUCGAGAUUGUGUUUUUGACCGACGACUUGUCGCUCACAAAAGUAUGAAAUCUAACCUCGUAGUGUUAAGGAUGACAUCUCUAUUACAAUAACCUUGUAGUGUUAAGGAUGACAUCUCUAUUACAAUGCCAGUACGUUCGUGAUGAUCUUACAUUUUAUAACAGUUUGUUGGAAUUUUUCAUGUGAUAUAUUUAUUGCCAUGUGUAGAUUCCUCAAGCAAUCUACCAAUUCUAUCACAAUUUUUCAUGAAUAUAGGUGGAAAAAACUCAGAUUGUCAUAUCGUGUUAAGACUAUAAUAGAUAUGGUAUGCAACAAAGUUAGAAAAAAACUGUUAAGAAUCUCCCACUAAGAUAUCAUUCAUCCAAAAAGAUUGUACACGUGUUGACAAUAAUUUUACAAAGUGGAAAGAUAUAAAUAAUGGUCGACAGGACCUCGCAUCUUAUCUCUUUGGAAUCUUUUUUUUUAAAAUGAUAAUAUUAUGAUGGAAUUUGGGUGGGGCAUGACCUUCACUUUAUCUCUUCCUAAUCUAAAAAAUGUACUAAUACAAACAAGUAACUAAAAAGCAAAAUUACAAACAAAAUACGAAUGUCAAGUAAAGUAUAACUGAGAAGAUAUGUAACCAUAAGUAUCUCUUGGUAUUCUUGGUUUUAUCUUUGUAAAUUCUCUGACGCUGGAUAAAUUUAGGGACUUACUCUCGGCUUUUCCCCACACAUCCUAAUCCCUUUGAAUUUAUUCUAUCAAUUGGACAUGAUAUGUCUUCCUAAACCAGAAUCAUUCGUCACUCCACUAUAAUUGUUUGCCAUCUCCAUCAACCAUAAAUGAGAUUUGGUCUAAACAAAAGGUUAUACUUUCUACUUUUACAAUGGUAAGUCAACAAUCAUAAACACACUUCUUAAUAAGUCAGCCUGGAAAAUUAGUAUAGGGAUAUUUAGUUGGCUAAGUUGUUUUAACAUUGAUAGUUCUGGAAAAUAUGUUCAGGUAAAUGAUUGGGUUAAAUAUACUCUCUUUUAUUUCAAAUUUUUGAGUUAGUUAUCAUACGAUUUAGUAGAAAAUUUUGAUUGUGUUAGUGCACUUUGGUUGCAUUUGAGAUUUUGAUUGAUUAGGAAACAGCUUCAACUCUUUUUAGAAUUUGGCAACAAUAAUUAUAAAUUAAUUUAAUAGAAGAUUUUGUUUUUUUUGUUUUUUGUUUUUUUUUUUUUUUAAAGUUGGUUUGUAAAAGAAGUUUUUUUGAUAAAGUGUUAAAAUUACUUAAAUAAAGAAUUCAAUUAUUAUUUUUUUACUUUCAAACUAAAAUUGAUGAAAAACAGAUCUCAGUGUAAGUAUUCGUAUCCAAUAAUGGAUUAAUAGACGAUAAUCUGUUGUGUUUAUGUAUGUUUAUAAGACAACAAAAGUAUUAGUUUAGGAAUACAUCUAUUUUAUAAUGAAAUUAAUAGAUGAACACAACACAUAACAGAAAUAAAAUUAAUAGAUGAUAAUUUGUUGUGUUUAUGUGUUACUUAUAAGGCAACAGAGGGAUAGACAUAUCAUUGAUUGAAAUGUCAAACACGAAUAUAACUAGUUAUGUUCAUGUGUAAUGUCAAACACUGAUUUACAAAUAUAACAAUGGAUAUUUCAACCCUUAGCCAUAUGUAUCCUCUCUUCUUCCAUAUGAUAUUCUCUUUUCUACUCCAAGAAAUUAGAAAAUGAACAGGAACAUGUUGGACAAGCAUUGCAGCAAAAUAUGUAGCUAAUUUCGUUUCAAAUUGUAUAACCUCUACAAUGGAUUGAUUCAUCAAGGGUUAUUCCAUUUACAACUUAUGUAAGUUGGUUUCAUAACAUUACAUGGGAAAGAAUUGAAACAGAUGUAGACAUACAUAAAAUUGCCUAAAUACAUGAAAUUACACACAUAGGAUUCUUCAUCAAUAUAUAUUUCAGAAUCCCAUGAAGAUUUACUCAUCUGCUUGUAAAUCGUCUCGACGCCGAUUUCUGAAGCAAUGUACAGAGAAACAUUUCAGCCAGAGACGUCAACUUUAACUUUAGCUUUCACUAUCUUCUUCUGAGAUAUUGAACAAAAACUUUGGGAUAGAAGUGAUUCGAGGAAGAUGCAACAGCAAUUCACCAAAUGAAUCCUUCCUAGACAUACCAACUGCCUGCUUAGUGCCCGAGUUAUCUUUUACGUCCUCGCCGAAAGCUUUGACAUCUCCCCUUAAUAUGUUACCAACUUUAUCGUUCUUCCUACUGUCGGGUCCUUCGACUCGACUUUCAUCGUUGAACAGUGAGUUCUGAGUUGUGGGAUUGGCUGGAUCCUUUUGCAAGAGACAACAGAGAGAAUUGACCCUUUUCAUGAGAGAUUUCUCAUCAGAAGUUGUGGAUUGGUUGUCGUUCAGGAGAUAUUGUGUAAUGUCUUCUAGUAUGUCUUGGUAUUCUGGUCCUUGAUUGGCAAAUGACGAAUUUGCUGCUGUCAUCUGCUCUGAAAUGCAGUGCCCAAUGUGGUUCACGAGAUCACUCAUUGACAUGGACGGGUGGAGCCCGGGCACUUUCAUUUGUUCCCAAUUCCUUGGGCUUCUAGAGCUACCAACUUCAAAAUUUGCACUUGCUUCGGCUGGUACAAGAUUCCAUCUUUAAUCAAUAACAAAGGAAGAGCACAGAUAUUUUGGAAACAAACAAACAUUUGGUUGGACUAAUUCCUGACGAAAUCCUUGCAAAAGGUACAACUCAAAGAUUCCAGAAAGAAAUUGGCAAGAGAUAUGGACGGAAAAGGAAUAUUGACCAUUCAACUCAUGAUGUUGACACCAUGUGAUUUUUUUUGGACUCACAGGACAUUUUGCAAGUGACACGAUUUUGCACUAAGAAUUCAUGAACUCAAAAAUAAAGAAAAUGUUUUCCUUUUGUCCUUAAAAUUAAGUAGAAUGAACACAUCAUUCAACCAUGACAAUACACAUAAUCAUAAACAAAAAUAUGUUGUCAUGUGGUGUGGCAUGGAAAACAGAUAUUUCCAGUAUGUAAUCCUUUUGAUAGCAAAAUCCAUUUAAACUCACAAGCUAUAUAAGACAUUUGUUGUCAAGUAUGGAUGAUAAGGAUGCUAGAUUGCUGGGCUACCCUUCGUUCAUCCUCGCUCUUUUUUCCAUUUAUAAAUAUAGAAAACUAGAAUUAUUGGUUAAAAUAUCUCAAAUGUUGGCUAUUCAGUUAACAUAUCUUCAAUGUUAAAGAGAUUCUCUAUAUUGGGCCCUAUUCUAUAUUACUUUUUAACUUAUUCAAUUCAAUAAUAUUCUAAUAACAAGAUACAAAAGAAGAACAAUAAUAAAAAAAAUAUAUAUUAAAACAUAUCCACUAAAACGCAUAUAAAAAAUAGCAAAUCAAUAAGUUGUCACCUGAACAAGGUGAUGGUGCUUCUUGAGAGUGAUGCUCUACAGUCGUACAAGUAGAGUCUUGUUGUUCUAUCUUCAGGGAUGAUUGCUGAGGAGAUGGCGAGGUACCAUCUGUCAGAACAGAUACGAUUGAUCCUUUACUAUUUUCUGCUUGGUGUUCUGGAUCCUCAAAAACAGACACUCUUCGUUCGAAAUAUGGUGAAUCCAAAACUAUCUCUGGUUGUCGGCUUAAGAAGUUAAGACGCAUAUCACACUGAAUUAGCUUUUCAAAGUGUUUGUUCAACAAUCCUUGAGGACAUUGCAGAAAAUGUUGCCUAAAAAUCACAAAAUUAGAUUUCUGUAAUGAUUUUCAUUCCUACAAGAUGGAAAGUAACCAGCAAAAAGAAAAUUAAAUGGCCAAAGACAGAGUUCAUGCACCCAAGAUAUGAAAAAUGAAAACCCAGUCAGCACUUGAAGAAAAUGAGAUGAAAGAAUAAAGAAAUGACAAUCUAAUCUAAUUCUCCCAUUCAACCAUCUCAGAAAUGAUAUAUCAAAACAGAGGUUCCUCUACUAAAAAAUUUAUGCACAAAAGACAUGAAGAGUCUAUUCUAUAGACAGACUUCUACCACUGAUUAUCACUGAGAAGUAAAUUUAAACACAGAGCACAAAAAGGAAAGUGUAAGGCAUAGCAUUUUAGUCUUCAAAGAUGGUAAAAUCACAAGUAAUACCUGUGAACAGUAGCCUGGCCAUCGGUAAAGUCAGCAGUCGCCUGCCAUAAAGUGUGUUUUCUUGGUUGAGGGUUUGUUUCCCUGAAGAAAAGGGGCUGCCUAGCCAACUACAUAAAAGAAAAAUAAAAUAAAAUAGGCUGCCAUAAAAUAAAUACAAGAAGUUUCCCAAAUAACUCUCAUGUCUUUCAAAAAGAGAAAGCAAGCAAAUAAGGCAUUAGGCAAAAAUAAGAAGUGCUUACCACCACAUUCAGAGUACCAGGCCCAUUAUCAGGACAGUUGGCCUUUAAGGCCAUGAUAUCAGACCACUGGAUUUCUAUUUUACUCUUCAACCCACCUUCAAGAAUUUCCCAAACAAGCUUGUGCUUAGCAAAAUAACAUUUUGCCACCAAAUCACCUUCAUAUCUUGAUUUAUACUGUCGAAAAUACAUGACCUCAAUUACUUAAUAUCCACACCAUUUAAAAAUGAUUAAAUACACAAGGGAGAUGCAUAGAUUGUACCUCCCAACCACCAAUCCUUAGAAGCGAUGCAGGAAAGUUUGAAGCUUUCAACUUAUCAGUAGAGGAAGGAAUGACAGUGCCUUUAUUUUCCUUUUUCAAUGAAGAGUUAAAGCUUUCACAUUCCGCCACAUCGCUUGAAGCAGCAGUCGAUUGUGAAAGCUUCAUUUGAAUUAGAUCCAACAAUGAAGGGCUCUUCCUCAACCGUAAACCAAGAGGACUAGGCUCAUCAAGCGGAUUAUAUUGUGAAGGCGGUACAGCAAAAUCAUCGUUACCAUCACUUUGUUGCUUCAAGUUUGGCAAGAUCAUGCAAAAACAACAAACAAAAAUGGCCAAAAUCAUUUCAACUGACGAGAAAAUCACAAUUUGAAAUAAAAAUUUCAACCGUAACUCUUCAACAAUCAAAAGUGCAUCAUCUCACCCCUAAAAAACAAAUGGAAUAGCAAAAAAAGAAAAAAUAAUACAGAAGAUCAAUCUCCGUUAAAAAAAAAAAGUUAAUAAAUAAUAAACUUCAACGUUGAAAUGCAUAACAUUCAGUAGUCAAAAUAGUACCAAGUAUUAAAAAAAAAUCUCUCAACCCCAAAAUUUCUUCGUAACCAAGCAGAAGAAAAACCAACACCACAUACCGGAGAAUCCGUCGUCACCGUUUUCAAUCGCUUGGGGAAGGGACCAUGGUCCUCUUCAAGAGAGUCUUCGAUCUCCAGUUUCACCGGUACCUUGUCGCGAAAGGACGCCAUAUCGGGCUCAAGAGAAUGAUUCCCGGAUUUCAUCAACUGCACCAUCAAAACUCUUGCUCUUGUUCGACCCUUUUUUCAGAUACCGAAAAUUGAAACAAAUGGCCAAAGAAAUCCAAAAUAGAGCUUCAAAACGAAUACAAGAAUGAAGAAACCCUAGAACGACGAUCUGUGACCAAAAUGGAUAGGAAAUACGAAAGACGACGGAGAUUCUGAAAGCUCCACAGAAAAAUUUAUUUUUUAUUUUUUAAAAUUUAAUUUUAUUAAUUUUAAAUAAAUUAAGAAAAAUAAAAGGGAGAGAGAGAAGAGAAAAAAAAAAAGGAUAAAUAUAGAGAGAGAGAUUUUGGGAGAGAAAAAUCAUAACGCCGUCCGGGUCGGGUUGGCGGAGUCUAAUUUGACGGCGACAUUCACGUGCGAUGGCACGUGCGCUUGGAUUAUAAAUAGUUAAUUUGUCUUUGUCAUAUAUAUAUUUAUAUAUUUAUAAUAUGGUAAUAUUAUUUAUUAUUUUAGUUCUCCUCAUGGUCCCAAACAUUUUAUUAUUGUUUUUCUUUCCCUAUGCUUCAUGCAUUUAUAUUCUUUUUCCUUUACUUCACCACAUACGUAUAUUUCACGACUUGUAUUCUACAAAUUAUAAAUGUUAAGUUCAAAUAAGUUUUUUUUGCUAAUUUGGAUAUGAAAAUUUAAGUAGAUGACAAAUUAUAAACGGAAUGUUUAAAAAGUGUAUUAUAUUGUUCUUUUUCAUUUCUCAAAUUUGUCGUUUUUUAAUGUAUGGAGUAUGUCAUUUAAGUAUUAGUAGUGUAUCAAUGACAUUAAGUGUAUCAGAUUUAUUAGUAUUUUUUUAUAUUUUAUGGAUGAGGUUGUUUUUUGUCAUUUUUUUCAAAAGUAAUAAAUUUGAGCUAUCGGCUUAAUUUUUAAAAUUUAUGUUAUCGAGUGGUAAGAAGUUCCUUUAUAAAUUGCAUUUGAAAUCAUUUUUUUAAAGUAUGUUAUAGGUAUGUUCUAAAUGAGAAAAUUAACUUCAAACUAGUUUAUUAUGAUGUAAUUUAUCUUUAAAUUGUUUGUUAUUAAAUAAUAUUUGUGAUCUAAAUGUAAAAUAAAACAUGAAUUUAACUAAAAGAAUAAAAGGGAAAAAAAAUGAAAGAAUUUUAUUUAAAAAAUAGAGUUAAGUUUUAAAUUAUGCAUUUAAUUCAAUGGGACCAUAAUUUCCUUAUUAAAUAUUAUAACUCAAUGAGCUCCACUCACUUUGCUUUCACACCCUAGCAACCUAAGAGUUCUUCUUUUUUUUUCAUUUACUCUUUUUAUUGUGAGAUUUUGAGUCAAAACUUUCUUUUAAAAAAAUACUAAGUGGACAAUUGAAGAGUUUAGAUUUCUUCCAAAUGUUUAUAUAUGUAUAUAAAAAAUCAUGGGUAGUUUUCUAAUAAAAAAAGUUUUUCAAUUGAAGUGUAAAAGACAUCACAUUUUGACUAAAUUUUAGUUUAUUUAUAGUAUAUUGAUAUCUUUUACUAAAGUUUUUCAUACUUAUAUCUAAAAAUUUGCAAGGUAUAGUAUUUAUUUUUGUAUUGAACUCUUGAUUAUAUCACUAUACCCUAAACUUGGUUAAUUAUUGCACUUUUCAUCCUAAACAAAACAAAGUACCUGUUUUUAUUUUAUAGUAGGCAUUUGUUUAAAAGAAAUAUUAUCACCUAACUUGACACAAAAUUAGUAGAGUAAAAAUAGCAUUAGUAUUUAUUUUUUAAAAAAGAAUUACAAAUUAUAUUUAGAGUUUAAUUUGGUCGAAAUUAAAAGUUGAGGUGAAUAGGGUUUUUACACAUGAAUGAAACCUUUCAACUAAGUGGAUCCAAUUAAGCAAAUUAAUGAAGUUUUUGCUAAUAAGUAAUUUACACAAGUGGUUCAUACAAAUGCAUUUACCUCCAAAUGUCUUAUAAUGUCAUAUACAGAAAGUCAAACACAAGUUGUAGCAAUUAAUUUUAUGCAAUGAACUAUAUCAACAAAUUAAUUGUAAAACUAAAUAGGAAAAGAAUAGAGAAAUUGACACGACAAUUGUAUAGUGGACCAACCAACGUCCACUUCCCAAGUUUCUCUUGGGUAUGUCACUAAAUUUGUUGACUCUUUCUAUGGAUUAGAGAUAAUCAAUACACUUCUCUUUUUACAAGUUCAAGGAUAAAUCCAAUCGUUUCCACGGAUCACAAUCAAACGGUCAUAAAUGACUUCUCAUUUAGUGAUGGAUUUGGAAAUGAAGGACAAGAAAAUGAAAACUCUCUCAACUCAUUUAGUGAUACCAAAAAGCUAACAACACCCUAAUUGUACUAAAGAUCAAUAAUAGAUACAUAUAGCUUUUUUAUAGAGUACACAAAAAUUAAAAAUGAUAAUCAAUAGGGUAUAUAAUUAAGUUUACACUAAAACUUUUUAAUAAUCGAACUACUUUCAUUUUAGUAAAAUUAACAUGCCAAAGCAGAUGAAUCAAAUCCCUACCAUAUUAGAUAAAAUAAGAUUCAAUCUCACAAUGAUAAGAAUAUUUCAUCUAAAAUAACCUUCACUCGAACAUGUCCCUAAAAUCUCCAAAAUCUUUGUUUUAUAAAAUCUAAAAUGAGAAAGAAAGCGGAAAACAAAAAUCCUUGCAAGGGGUAGUUUUGUCAUUUCGGAAAUUAAGUAAAGCAAGGGUGAGCUGGCAGACAGAUACGGAUUAAAUGGAUAAAAAUGCGGGACCCAGAAGCUCCCUAUUUAGAGAUUGACACGUGGGGCCUCGAUUGACACGUUUCAUUGUGAGAAGCAAUCAGAUGGGAACGUCAUCUGAUUUCAUAAGGUGGGACCUCACUGCUGAUUGGUCCACAUAAGAAACCGAUCAAAAAUCAUUAUCACAGGUGACCAACAAUAAUAGAGUUUUUAAUUUAGUUUUGUGUCUUUUUGCAUUUUUGUAAUAUAUAAUUCUCAAAAAUAAAAUAUUUGAUCUCUUUUUUUUAUUACUUUUGAUUUAUUUGUUUUUGUUAUAUAAUUGUACUGAUACAUGAGACUCACAUCCAAAUCUAUAAUGAAAUAAUGUGAUUUCAUUUACGAGUUAAGAAAUUGAUUGAUUAUGCUUGUGAAUUACGUUUUAUCGUUAUUGCUACUGAUAGUGUCUCGUAUUCAAAUAAUUCAAAAUGCAUUUCCUUUCUUGACAUGAUAUAGAAAAUUUCAGACUAAAAAAAUCUAUGGAAAAAAGUUGCAUCUUCCACCUCCCCAAGCACGAAGAAGUUUCGAAAGGCUGAUUUCUCUUCAUUCACUAUGGAUCAGUACGUACCAUCAAAGCAAGAUCGAGAGGUUCAAAGAAUUUGAAUGCGCUUUCUUGAUUUUUAGUAGGUUUAGAGACCUUGUUCAUUGAUUUCUUCGAGUGGGGCUUCGGCCGCAAUAUUAUUUGCACCUUGCACUCAUCUUCAGCCAAUUUCCCCAUCGCACUUAGGUCUCAAUUGAAUCCAGCCUUGAGACGAGAGUCAAAGACUGUUAUCCUAGAAUAUAACAACGAUAUAUCAAUUUUCUAACUCUCAUAUGAUAUUUCCCUCUUUUCUAUUGAGUUAAAACUUGUGUCGUAGGGCCGAUUUUAUACCCUCUCACAUAUUCUCUUGAAUAUCACACUUUAUUAUUAUUAUUACUAGCAUCGCGAUCUUACAAAAGCAAACCAUAAUAUCUUUUUCACACAACAAAAAUGGAUAAUUUAAACCACAAACUUCUAUAUCGCUAACACAAGUAUGUUAAUUGAAUUUAGCUUGUUUCGAGUGUAAUUAUAAAUUUUAUUGUUAUGAUUUGUAUAUAUAAUUACAAAAACAAGUUGCAACUUUUUUUGAAAAUUUAUUUUAAAUAAUAAAACUUCUAAACCAUAAACUAAUAUGACAUAAAUAGUAGUUUAUUUUCUUCUAUCACGGUCUAUACGUUUAUCUAUAUUUUAAUUUUUUUUUUGUUGGGUCUACAAGGAUCAUCAUAAAUAUUCUCUUUAAUCUCAAUGAAGGUAGGAAUACAUUCUUUUGCCCUUUUUUUUCUAUUUAAUUAUACUUUUUGAAAGUAAAAUACAAUAAAAUACUAGACUUUAUAACACAACAUAAUGUAUAUUAAGAAAGGGCCUAGGAAAAAUAAUAAAUAAAAAAAAUAGGUUCAAACAAAGAAGUUUACAUUGGAAAAGACAAAGAAAAUAAAAACAUUCACAAGAAAGGAAAGAAUUGAUGGAUUAAAAUAUAUAUUCUUAAAAGUUUGAAUUUAGUACAUACACUUUUAGCUUUUCAUUAUAAUAAUUGCAAAUGGAUUAAAUGAUGUGUUCUUAAGUUUGAACUUAAUUAGUAACUACACUUUUAACUUUUCAUUAUAAUAAUAAUUGCAACAAUUUUAUAAUAUUCUCUUUCUUUUUCUUUAAAUUUUGUAAUUCACAUAUUUCUCUCCCUAUUAUAUGUUUCUAUAAAAAAAAACAUUCAAAAUUUAAGCAAAAUUUUCAAAACUAAAAUUAGUAAUUCAUGAUGGGAAAAGGUGCACAAAUCAGCAAUUGAUUAAUUGAUCUUAAUUAAGUCAUUAAUUAAUAAAUGAAAAUAUAGUACAAUAAACAGCAAAUAAAGGAAAAUACAUUAAAAGACAGAAAAAUAAAAGCACUAAAUUCAAGCAAAAAGAAGCAAAUGAUUAUCCAAUGGAACCUAAUGGAACAUUAUACAACUAAUCAUAAGAAUUGAUGUUCAAAUCUGGAUCCUAAUUACUUAUGUUCAAAAGGUGAGAGAGAAGAAGAAAAAGAAAGAAGUUUUAUGUGAGAUGUGAAAUAAUCUCAAUAGUAUCUCGAGAUUCCAAACAUCAAAACCUAAACUUUGCAACUGGCAAAGACAAACGAAUAAACUUAGAGAAAGAAUUUCUCUCAUCUAAAAAAAAUUAGUAAAAUAAGUAAAAAGAGAAUCCCAAACUUUCUGCUUCCGCACAUUUUGACUAAUCUUAUCGAACAACUCAUUUUAUUCUAUAACAUUUGGGUGAUCGCCAUGGGUUAAAUAAUUAAUCUUUAAGUUAGUUAUUGAGACUAUAUGUCUUAUUUUUACUAUUAGGCCAACCAAUAGUAGUUGAGAGUCGCAAACUAUUAAUUUACGAUCAACAAACUUACAAAUUAAGUUAUCUUGCCCGUGAUAGAUCAAAUAUAAAUCACUUCAAUUUGUUGACUUAUAUACAUUUUGCAAAGCUAAAUCAAAGAAAAAGAGACAAAAACACAGGUUUGUUGAUAUUUAAGAGGUCAAAAUUAGGGGAAAUUUUUGAAGAAGAAAAAAUAUAUAUUCGUCUGCUUCUUCUUCCAGCCUUUUGAAUCAAACAUAUUAAAAGGUAAAUCUAAAAGAACUACCACAAGUAAUCAUUCAGCAAUCAUAGGAGAGAUUCUCAAUACUGAAGCAAAUCAUUUAUUCAUUAUGAUCACACAAACAAUAACCAUAAUCUAAAAUUAUUCCUAGAGAUAAGAUGCUAGUGAAGGGUAUACUUAUUAAUCAGAGAACAAGUUGUUUCUUCUUGAUUUCUUCGUCCUAUGUAUUCAACAUUUAAGCAAUUGGUUAAUUACAAGCAAUGACUUUUACCUUUAUUCUGUAGAGUUUUGAAGAAGCUAUCAGUACAAGGCUGCCGAAUCUUGAAAUCUGUAAAGCAAAGGCUAUGACAGUUUUCAACUGCAUCACUUCAAUGAGACUGAUCUUAUUCUAAAAGCUAUGCCAAUGAAAAUAUACUGUAUAAUCUCAACAAUGAAAUUGCUUAUUUUAGAAACUAAUCAUAGAAUAAUACUUGAGUUGUUGUGAUAGAUUGGAACAUUAUAAAAAAGAAACAGUAAUCCAUUAAGGAGGUGUUUGGAUUACUGUGUUGAGUUAUGAACUCUGAAUUUAAAAGUUUGUGGUUGAGUUCUUCAAAAAAUGGACAAAGUAAAGAAAUGAAAGAUAGAAUUCCUGAAUAACUGUUCGACAAUUCAACAAAGGAAACAAUUGAGUUAUUUAACACCAGUAGGCCAAACACCAACUAAUAAGGUUCUAAAAAAAUUUUACUAUCUAUUUUUUCUAUAGAUCUUAUUAUAGGUUCUCCAUGAAAAAUACUACAAACCGUUGCGUUUUUCUGUGUAGUUCCAUCCAAGCCAUGCCAUUUUGCAUGCAACGGUCAUCAAUUUUUCUAAAGAUAACGAGAACGAAAAAGUAAAUGCAAAAAUAAUUAUAAUAUUAUGCUCCUAUUUCCCAAGGCUUCCAAGUGGGUUUCUGGCCACAGGCCUGUUGCCCAUGCUCUGCAAACUAUAGUAAGCCAAUAAGGUGCCAAAAGUUAUCUCCAAGGUAAGUAAUUCUUAUUCUUUUUAAAGGUCAAGUUUGGCUUGCAGUCUAAGCAUAUGUCGGAGGGAUGAUUGCUUCUUUCAUGUUAUAUAUGUGAGAUGUAGCUUUUUAAAUUCCUUAGCUUCUUUGAACUGUUUUAUUUGUAAUCGUUUAUUCUGGUUUUAGAGGUUGAGCUUUUUCCUUUUUCAAGCCUCCACAAGCCAUCUCUUUUGGUAUGACUUUCAAUUCUAGCUUCUUUCUUCUUUCUUAGCAUGCAAAUUAUAUUUUCCCGCCUUCUAUGGUUUUAGAGUUGCCAUAUCUGUAUAUAUGAACUGUAAUUAGCAAAUCUUAGGCUGAUUUAUAGCUUCUUCUUUUUAAUUUCUUUGUGUAUACAUGCUCCACGUGGAAAAUACACUUAAAUAUUCAAUAAAACAAUAUGGUACAAAAGUAGAUGAUCCAAAAGGUUUUGUGUUCAAACCUUGCAAUGUUGUUUUCUGAUCGAUUAAUAUUGAUUUUUCACAUGUUUAGGGGAUAAUGUAUUAAGUUUAUUUUCACACUUUAGCUUAAGCUUUUGUCAAUUAGUGAUUUAACAACCACAAGGACAGAUAGUAUAAGUUUUGUUCAACUUCUUAUAUUCUUUUUCUUUAGGGCUGUGAUGCAGGAAGGAAGGAAAUGAUUCAGAAAUAACAAUGGAAAUUUGUUCUAUACUCUAGAAGUUUUCGAGUAUUCUUCACUUAUUUCUAUUAAAGGGAUUAUAAAAGGACAGAAGGCAAUAUGUUUUCUGAAUUAUUUGACCUCAUUGUACCAGAACAUAUCAGUUUCAUAUGGGGUUACUGGGGCAUUGAGUUGCUAGUAUUGGCAAACUUUGUGUUCCAAGUAAUCCUAACUUUCAAUGGAAGUCGUAGAAGGCACACACCAGGAAAUAGGCUCAGCUUAAUUGUUUGGUUUUCCUACUUAUUAGCUGCUAAAAUUGCAACUGUUGUUCUGGGCAAGCUCACAACAAUUGAUAUAGGGCAUGAACAGCGCAAUACGCACACACAAGUCCAGGCGUUGUUGGCACCACUAAUGUUCAUGCAAAUAGGAAAUCCAGAUACAAUCACGGCCUACUCAAUUGAAGACAACCAACUUGGAGUGAGGCAAGUUUUCAGUAUGGUAAUCCAAGUGGGAAUUAUGUUUUACAUUCUAGUAAGGUCAUGGACAGAUUCCAAAACAUCGUUUCUUUACUUGCCGAUGUCUUUGGCUGGAAUAAUCAAGUAUGGUGAGACUUCAUGGGCUCUGAAAUCAGCACUUAAUGGCAACUUUGGCUUCACAAUUGCUGAUUUCUUCAAAUAUCACGAAGUAGCUGAUUUGUUUAACAAAUUGCCACAGGGAGAGAACGAACUUCCAGAGGCAAACUUGAUCUUGAGGGCCUACUAUAGAUUUUGCUGCCUAAAACCUCAUCUUGAAAAUUGGCUUUACUAUCCUCCAACUGAUUGUGAUCAAGGUAAACUACACAUUAAAGAAUGUGGGUAUGAAGAUGUGUUCAGAAUUACAGAUGUCGAAUUGGGUUUCAUGUAUGAUGCCCUCUACACUAAGGCACCUGUUGUAUACACUCGUAAGGGUUUGAUUCUUCGUUUAAUAAGUUUGCUUAGCGUAAUUGCCACACUAGUUGGAUUUUCUGUAUUGUUCAAGGAUGCAUUUGUGUACAAUAUUAGUAUUGGCUUCAUCCAUUUUGUGUUGAUAGCAGCUUUGAUAAUUGAGAUUUAUCAGAUCUUGAGACUACCAUUUACAGAUUGGGCUAUAGUACAGAUGGUAAGGCACCAUGAAGCUUUCCCAAUCCUUCGGGGUUUCUUGCGGUCUCUAUCCCCUCAGUCGGCAACUUGGAGAAGGUGGUCUAACACAAUGGGGCAGUUCAAUCUUUUAGAAUUCUGCUUGCAAACCAAGCAUCGGAACUACAGCAGAAUAAAAAUUCUCCGCUAUAUGGGAAUGGAUAUGAAACUCCGAAAGCAAUUGAGUUUGGAUCGAAUUGACGUCAGUCCAGAGGUGAAAGAAUUUGUGGUGACAGAACUGAGAGAGAUAGAGGCGAUCAAAGGAGAAGAAGAAUUUGAUCAGAGAGGCCAAUGGACAAUCAAUAGGUACAAAACUUUACUGAACCUCAACAACGAAAACAAAUUGAUUAAAGCAAUUGAAACAACUGUAUCAAAGAGACCCUUUGAUAAGUGCAUCUUCAUAUGGCACAUCACAACAAAUAUUUUCUAUAACAUCGAAGGUUAUCGUGAUACUAGUGUAGGAAAUAAAACGGAAGCUAUCAUGAGUCUAUCAGAUUAUAUGAUGUAUCUUGUGGUGACUCGUUCCCACGUGCUAUCAACAACAACUGCAGAUAUAAUAUUUGAUCAUUCAUGUGUGAAACUCGGGAAGUUCACAAGAACUGGACGUCUAAAGAAAGAGGACAUCUGCAAUGAUAUUCUGAAAUUAAAGAAAGAGAGCAUCCUUCAUGCAAGAGAGCCACAUGAACCAAUUGAAUCAGAAGCAGAAAAAGUAGUUGUAGGAAAUUGGCAUCUGAUGAAGGAUGUAAAAGAACUUGCAGACUGCUUAUUGGCACUGAGCAACGAGAACAAGUGGAAGCUAAUUGGCAGCAUGUGGUUUGAGAUGUUGGGAUAUGCUGCAAGUAAAUGUGAAAUGGAAUAUCAUUCAGAACACAUCAGACAAGGUGGUGAAUUGAUCACUCAUGUUUGGCUUUUGAUAGCCCAUAAUGUUACCAAAUACAGUUCAUAUGAAUACCAUGCGGGAGGUCAAGAUGAAGAGACUCCAGCUACUUCUUAGUUAGUUUUUCAACUUCUUUUUCCUUGAGAAAUGAAAUUUGAUUGCUUGUAAGGAAGUUUUAUGCAUUAUCAUUUUUUUGUGGUUCAUUGAUUGUUUUGUAAAAAACAUAAUAAUAAUGCAUGUGAAGUCAUCCUAUCGAUACUGCUACAUGGGAUUCCUUAAUUAUAAAAAUUACAAUUCAUGGGUUUCAUUCAAAUGGGGUCAAAGAUAACGUAAACAAUUCCUCAACUGACCUCAUCUUCAAUGGAGAAAAGUUCCCACCUCGUCCUUAGUCCACUUUCUGCACUCUUCUGAUCCAUGGACUUAGCCUCUCAAUCAUUCUAUGAAAUACUCUUAGAAAUCACUGAAGGGAGAUUUGGUGAAACCUCUCGAAAGAUCUUUAUAAGACGAUUUAUGGAAGAAACUCCACCUCACUUGUAUGCUCUUUGCUCUUUUGUAUAUCGCUUCUGGAAUGUUAUUUUGAAAGUGUUUUUCCGGUCUCUAGUUUAUAAUAAAUUUCCAUGCAAUUUCACAACACUAAUCAAAUAAUAAUAUUGUUUGUAAAAUAAACUACUCAAAUAACUAUUUUCAUCUAAAGUUCUCCCGGUCGUAAACUACUAUAAUAAUCUUUGCUCAUCUAAAAUAUUAAUGUUUAGCUCAACGAUAAUUGACACGAUACUUCUUAUUAAAAAUUGAAAGUUUAAUCAUUUUAUAUAGUUGUUGUAUUAAAAGUAAUUCACUGUUGUGGCUUGAAACUAUGGUGAGCACCAAAAAACCAAGUACUCAAUAAACUAAGGUUAGACGAAUUGAGAGCAAGCGAUUGAAGAAAGAAAUAGCUCGGUCGGGAAAGAGUCCAAACCAACAUUUAAAAAUAAAUUAAAGCAUAAAAUCGAUUGACUGACAGAUCAAUAGCCUAUUUGCACUAUUCGACAGUCAAGUCGGUUUGAAUAUUUAUUAAAUUAGUCAUAGCAUGUUCAUUAACAGUUUGGUUGGAAAAUCGACUCUAACCAAUAUAUCCAAAACCUAUUUGAAAGGAACCUACUCAAUUUUCUAUUUUUGCUUUCUUUUUAAAACAAAAUAUAAGAAAAUGAGGAUUGUACUCUUAGUAUAAUAGAUAUUUCCUUUUCCCUUCUUUCUCGAUUCAAUUUCUCACUUUUACUCUUGGCUUUUAAAUUAAAAUGGUAUAUAUAUUUGUUGUUUGUGAAUGUUCUUAAAAUGAGCUAAAUUUUGAAACCUAUCCCAUUUGAUUUUUUUAUUUUGUUUUUAAAAAUUAAUUUCUCUACUUUUUCAUCUCUAAAAUAUUUAUAAAACAGGAUAAAUUAUAUAUAUAAAAAAAUAUGUCUAUAAAAAAUAUGCUGAAUUUUUAAAAAUUUAAAAAAUGUCAUUAAACUUUAAAAAAGAAUUAAAAAAAAUUGAAAACGUUAAACAUUAAAAUUUUGUUAAUUUGCAUGAAUAUGUCCAUAUUUCUAUGGAUAAUUUCACAUUUUCAGAUAGAGUGGAUGAAUAGAUAUUUCUAUUCCAUUGUAAAAAAUCACAAAUCACACAAAAAUAAACCUGAAAAUGACAUUAAUAUAAUAAAACAAAUGUCUAUUUACUUGUUUGAAAACAACAAAAUACUAUUUACUAAUUUAAAUUUAUUUUAUAAUUUUUCCACAAACAUCUAUCCAAAUGAAAAUUUAUGUAAAGUUAAAACUUCCAUAUAUCUUUCAACAUUUUAAAAUUUGGUUAAAACAUAAAAUUCCAUAAAAUCUAAAAAUUUUCAAAAUAAAAAAAUCCCUUUGUAACAUAGUAAACAAAAAUUAGUUGAAUAAAAAAAACUCACGUUGAUAGAUCUAUCUACAAUUAAAAUAAAUUUAAAAUUGUAAUUUUAACCUGAAAUUUUGGUUAGUGAAAAAAUUCGUGUAAAAUUUAGAUUAUUUUAAAACUUUUUAAUAGUUUAUCGGUAUAUUUUAAACAAAACUUAAACAAUUUUAGAUAUUUUUUAACCAUUUUUUAAAGUUUAAGUGCAUUAUUUAAACUUUUGAAAGUUUAUGGAUAUUUUAAAAUAAACAAUAAAGUUUAGGGAACAUUUUUAUAUAAUUUAACUUAAAAAAAUAUAAAAGAUAUAUUUACGAUAGGUUACUGUAUGUGUCUAUUGUAGAAAUCUUUCGUAAUUUUUUGUAUUUGUAAAUAUUUUUCUUAAUUCCUAUCUUUUUUUUGGAGCUGGGGAGCAUGUGCACAUUUGAAUUAAGCAGGGGUAUUUUAGUAAAUUUAACAUUUUUGACAAACUGAUUUUUGUUAGAUUUUCAAAUAAUUUGAAGUUUUGGUAUUUUAAAAUUAUUUUGCUAUAGUUGUCUUCUUAUUACAAUUAAAGAUUUUAAUUUGUAGCCUUUUUUAGUACAACAGAUUUAAAUGUGUAAUUAAAUUAAAAUAAAUAAUGCUUAAGAAACAAUCAAAGGUGAAAAUAUGUAAUUAAUUUAAGAUUUAAUACAAGCAUCAAUGAAUUGUAAUUCAACGGCCAGGAUUGCAUCUAACGCAAUCAUCAGAUGAUAAACUAAACUCCUCCAAUAAAAAUCACACUGAAUCCGCGACUCUAUCGUUUAUUAUACGCCCUCACAUAUUCCUUCCUCCUCUCGCCGCCUGCCGACGAUUCUCUCCUUCCACUUCCCACGAUGGGCGGCGCCGCCGACAACGGUAAUCUCUCUCUACAUUCAGUGGCGGUUCGCGUUUCUUAGAUCUCUGAAUCCUUUCUGAAAUUUCUCUUUUCUCUUUGAUUUUUGCAGCUUCAUCGGGAUCCUCGUUUCUCUUCGAUAAAUCGGCGAAGAUCUUCGUGGCUGGUCACCGUGGACUCGUCGGUUCCGCCAUUGUCCGAAAACUCCAGCAGCUUGGAUUCACGAAUCUCAUUCUUCGUUCUCACUCUGAGCUUGACCUAACUCGCCAAUCCGAUGUCGAAUCGUUCUUCGCUAAUGAAAAACCUCGAUUCGUUAUCCUCGCCGCCGCGAAAGUUGGUGGAAUUCACGCUAACAACACCUAUCCAGCGGAUUUCAUCGCCAUUAACCUUCAAAUCCAAACUAAUGUCAUCGAUUCAGCCUACCGCUAUGGCGUUGAGAAGCUACUAUUUCUCGGUUCAUCAUGUAUUUAUCCUAAAUUCGCUCCACAACCGAUUCCUGAAGACGCAUUACUAACCGGUCCUCUGGAGCCGACAAACGAGUGGUACGCGGUGGCGAAGAUCGCCGGAAUCAAAAUGUGUCAAGCAUAUCGAAUUCAAUACAAAUGGGAUGCAAUUUCAGGAAUGCCGACUAAUCUAUACGGUCCAAACGAUAAUUUCCACCCGGAGAAUUCACACGUAUUGCCGGCAUUGAUGAGGAGAUUUCAUGAGGCAAAGGUUAAAGGAGCAAAAGAAGUGGUGGUUUGGGGAAGUGGAAGCCCUUUGAGGGAAUUUCUUCACGUCGACGAUUUGGCCGACGCCGUCGUUUUCCUCAUGGAGGAAUACAGUGAUUUGGGGCAUUUGAAUGUUGGAAGUGGGAAGGAGGUGAGUAUCAAGGAGCUGGCUGAAUUGGUGAAAGAAGUGGUGGGAUUUGAAGGAGAUCUUGUUUGGGAUAAAUCAAAACCUGAUGGAACUCCAAGGAAAUUGAUGGACAGUUCUAAGCUUGCUGAAUUGGGAUGGAAUCCAAAGAUUUCUCUCAAAGAUGGGCUUGUGGAUACUUACAAAUGGUAUGUUCAAAAUGUGCAGCAAUGAAGAAAUGAACAGGAAAAAACACAGGUUAGUCCACCAUUUUCAAUCAUCUGUUUGAUCCUUUUGUUGUGAUUGUAGUUUAAAAAUCUAUAUUACUGAAUCUAAUUUGCAAGAUAUGAAGCUUUUAUUGUUUUCUGAUAUUAUAUCAUCUACGAUUACAUCCGCUAUAGAGAUUCUGUUUGAUCUUUCCUUACCACUAGUAGAUUGAACCAAAUACAAUUCCGAAUAAAUUUUGCAUUUUGGAGAUUUCUUUUCUCUUUCAUUUUUAAACAACUACUCUAAAAUGCUUGUGUAACGCACAAUUAUACAAAAAACACUUGGAAAUCGAAGUCUAAAGAGAAACAUGAAACCUUACCUAGGAUUGCUCUCCACACCCUGAAAAAACUCUAUGAUUUCAUAACAAAGGCACACACCUCAGCAGACCACAAGAACCGAACCUAUCCCUUUUACAGGAGUGUUGAGGAGUAACUCUUCGAUCAUAUCUCUUUGAUAUAGUCCCUCCCUCUUAUUGGAGAACCUUGUCUUUCCUGCAUUUUGUUUUGCAAGGCUUAGGGAUUUUGAAGUGCUUGUGGGUGUGAGAAUUUUGAUCUAUAAUGGAAGAAAUUCGUAUCAGUUUGAGAUAGCUGUAAUGACAAGUUCAUAACAGGCAGUUUAGAAGGAAAACAAAUACAAUUUUCUGUUUUUAAGUGGGAAGUUGGGUAUUUAGAUUUGAGGUAGCUGUGUUUAAAUAGACCACGAAGCAAAGCAAAUCAAUCAUUUGUGAAUAUUUAAGUCUCCCUUAGAUUGGAGAAAUGUUAGACCAAAAUGGCUCAGUUGAAGUAUGUAUUUACUUUCUUUCUUUCAAGUCGGAAGUUGAAUACCACAGUUUUGAUUCCAAUUAAAUAUUUUGGAUUAAUUUAUUUGCAUUUUGUCCAUUUUAAUUAGGACCUUUCAUCACAAUUUAAAAAUAAGUUAAGAGAGAAGAGUUCACCUUACUUGGAGUCAUUUUUUGGAUUUAAAGGGGAAAAUGAUUUUGAAAUUCUUCAAAUUACCUUUUUUUUCUUUUCAUGUUCAAAAUAAAUUCACCUUUAAUCACUCAAAAAUAAUAAAAUUUUAACUUUUUUUUUUUGCCUUUAAAUGUAAUUUUUAUACCAUAAAAAAUUUGAUUGAGUGAUAAAUAACAUGUUCGAGGUGAUUUUAAAAAUGAAUACUUAGGUGAUGUUGUCUUAAAGAAGUUAUUUAACAAUUUGCAUUUACGGUGUGUUUGGUAGUUUGGUAGUGAUGUUGAGAUGAUCAAAAUCACUUUUUUUUUUUAUUUUUUAUUUUACAUUAACAAAAAUUUAUUUUUAAAAAAUAUAAAAUCAUUUCAAAUUGGUUUGAAAGGAAUUAGGUGAUAGGUGAUUUUGGUUGAGUAAUUUUUAUCGAUUAGAUGAUUAUAUUAGUUGGAUGGAAAGUUGAUGUUUAUAAAUAAUGUUGUAGGGUUUUUUUUUCACUUCAUUUCAUUGCUCACACUAUACAAUAUUUGUUUGUAAGUCACGAAUUCAACCCUUAAAUUGUUGAAUAACUAUUUCGUUUUUUUAAUUAAGUCUAUAAAUACUACUUUUUUGUUUUUAAAUUUCUUCCCUUUUUGUUAUCUAUUUUUUAUAAAUGGUCUAAAAAUCAAACCAAAAUUUGAAAACUAAAAGAAAAAAGUUUUUAAAAGCUUUUAAUAACGUGUUUUUGUAUUUCAAAUUUGGGUAAAAAUCCUACCAUUGUUUGUAUUGUUGUAAGAAAUGAAGAAGAGAUGUGAUUAAUUUUCAAAAAUUGAAUUUAAAACCGAAUCGAACCCAACCCUUUCAACCCUUUCUACCCAAUUUGAAUUUGAGAAAUUAAAAAACAAAAUCAAAAGAAAAGAAAAAAGGGGAAAAGAAGCCACGAUGGAUCCAAAGGAUAAAAAAUAAAAUAAUUGUUGUUUAUUUUGUUGUUGUUGUGAUUUACUGGACAUAAGGUGGGUUCCCUAUUUGGUAUUUUAUAAAAUGGAUGGGAUUGAGUUUGGUUCUCUUCUCACGUGGCUCCAAAAUAACGAAACCUUAAGACCCAUCGUUUUCAUUUAUAUCUUAUGUUCCCAUGUAAUCUCUCAUCACCUAACCUUUCUGUCUAUUUCUAUCUUAACCCACCAAAUAAAACAAAACUUUUUCUUAUAAAAAAAAUAUCUAUUUGUUUCACUCCAACACUUACAACAAAAGGUUAUAUAUUAUAAUCGAUUUCAAACAUCGUACAAAAUAUAAUAGAAUUAAGAUAGACUACUAUUUGUAUCUAUUAUGAUGUAGUUAGACACAUGUAGUAGAAUAAAAUUAUUAGUAUUUAUGUGUUUACCGUUAUAUUAGUGAAGGUUUAAUAUCGUGUCUAUAAAGUAGUCAAAUUGAAAAACAAUGUAACAAAUCAUCCAGUAACAAGAAACCAUAUUAUAUUUCUAUUUUCAAAAUCUUAAAAAGGUAGGGAACAUUUGAGGGGGUGUGAUGAUUAUUAUAACAUGUGGGUUACAAUAAGGUGCAUAUUAUCUUAAUAUAGUUAUAACUAUAAUAACAAUGUAGUAUUUGAGAUCUAGACUAAAUAAAAUGGGUUGCACACAAAGAAAGAGGGAGAUAAGAUGAGAACGAAACACUAAACAUUGUAGUAAAAAGGAUUUUGAAGAGUGAUGUUGUAGUUAAUUACAAGUAUCAAAGUUGGAAGUACCAACUGGUGUUGUAACGUCUCAAGUUUAGAUGGGGCACAAAUGAAUCAAGAUUACAUUUGAAUAAGUGGAAUAUUGAGAAAACGAACUCAAAAGAAUUGAAAAUCACUAUCUAUACCGACAAGGUAUACUUUCAUUUAAGUGACUCAGUCAUGAAAACUUCAAAUUUAAGUGUGUUUAGCUUGAAGCAAUUUUAUGUUCGGUGACCAUUUUUCUAGAAAGUAUCUUUGUUAGGACAAACCAUUUUGAAAGAACCCAUGGUGAUUUGCGAAGACAAUCUUUUCUCUUAAAAACAAUUUAGACAUGCAAUGAUAACGUUGUCAAAUUGUAGGGAAAUGCCAAGGUCGUUUUGUGUUAAUCCAAAUUUAGAAUUCUGGUUCGAACCAUGGUCUUGAGGCAUUACAAUUUAAUUAAAACAUAAAGUGGACUAUAAUAGCUUACGUGGUCGAAUUACCGACUUUAAGUUAAUGCGAAAAAGUAAUACAAUUUCCUCCCUCCAAUCAAUUUUCAUUUGGAUAUUUUUUUUAAAUAACAAUAAAUUAUUUUCAUAUGCAUUAAACCAAUUACCAAACAUAUAUGUAUGGUAUAAAAUUGAUAUAAUUUCAUAAAAACAAGAUAUUCUAACAAUAAUUUUGUUAAAAGUUGUGAUUUUAGCUAUGUUAUUUUAAAUUACUAAAUUUAGGAUGAUUCGGAAUUGCUUUUUGUUAAAAUUAUUAGGUAAAGUAGCCAAAUACGAACAAUAAAUUAAAAUUAUAAAAUUUAUAUAAGUUACUACAUAGAUGAUCUUUCAUACGAGAGAUUGGGACGUUCGAAUCUUACCAAAAAGAAAUUAUUAUAAAUGAAGCUUUUUAAAUAUAGAAAAACGAAGAUUACUACCAUUAUCUAAAACUAAUAGAAGUCUAUCAAGUUGAUACACGUCUAUUAUGAUAUAGACUAAUAAAAGUUUAUUCGUGUCUUUUCAAAUUUUAUUUAUUUGCAAAAAUUUCUCUAUCAUGUAUUCAAAUAUCAUCCCUUUAUUUUAUAUUUCUUUUUAACUUUAUAAUAAAUUGAUUGAUUUGAUACUUAGGCCGAAAUAGUAACCCUUUUGAUUCUUUUGUAUUUAAAUUUAAUUAUAAUUUAAUAAAGUAUGUAAAUUCUUUUAAAAUAUAAUUUUUAAAUAUUUUAACAACAUUCUCAAAUACACCAAAAUAUAUAUAAAAUAUAGAUUAAUUUCGUAUAUCAGAGUCAAAUUUGAAACUUUAUUAUAUAUAAUAAUUUUUCAUAUUUAAUAUGAUUUUAAAAAGAGAAAUUUUCAAAUAUAGUAAAAUAAACUAAAUUUUUUGCAAAAUAUAGUUUGUAUUCUAUCACACAAAUAGAAGGAUAUCGGUGUCUACCAAUACAUAUUUCUAUCAAUUACUGUAGUACAUUUUAUCGUCAAUUUGUUAUUUUUUACGAUUUUACUUUCAUCAAGCCAAAAAUUUUAAUAUUUUGAAAAAUUGACAAAGUUUUUUAGAUAAUUUUUGGGUACAAAUUUCAACUUUUUCCUAUUUUUAUUUAAUGCACUGUUUUUUUUUUAAGAAAAAUAGAAAAGAUUGAACAUUUAAGUUGUGAAAUAAAGGAAUUAAUUAUUGAAGAUUAUUCAAAAACUUUGAAUGGAAGGCUCAAGAAAAGUUAAGGUUUACUUUAUUAAAAAACAAACCAACAAACUCCAAUAACGUUCUUUUCCCACUUUCUUUCUUUUUGUUAUUUGGACAAAGAAAAAAAUAUAGAAAAUCAUUUGGGAUUUCUUUUCCUUUUUUGUUUGUAAAUGGAUUUUAAUAUUUUCGUGUCAAUAGUUUUAAUAUAUUUUUAUUUUAAAAAAUGUUCUCUAUUUUUAUAGUUGAGUGAUGCUGAUUUAUUCGAUGUGAGUUUGAUUUAGUGAUAUUGAUACAAUAUUUGUUUUUAAAGACCAGAGUUUAAAUUUGUUAGCCUGCAGCUCUAACACUAAACUUUUUUUUUAUUGGAUGUGAAUCAUAAUUAUAGAGAAGAAUAAGUCAUGGAUUUUUUUAGUGAUGGAUAGAGACGGAAGUCUAUCACUGUUUGUGGAUAGCGAUAGUGUUCUACCAUUGUCUAUCAUAAAAAAAAUAUGGUAAAUUAUGUGUGUUGUUUCGGAUGUAUAUCAUUGUCUAGACGUACAUUACUAUUACUUAUAGAUUGUUGGUGAUAGUUAUGCUAUAUAAUAUUAUUUAAAGUUUUGUUGAUUUGUCGUUUUAAUAUAUCUUUUUAAACGAAAAACUAUAGGAAAAUUAACUAUGGUUUCAAAUCACUUCAAAAAUGGAAAAUUUGUAUAGAUAAUCAAUAGUGAAACUAGAUAGACAAUGAUUGACAGGACAUAUAACUCUAUAUUUAUCUAUUAGUGAUAAAAAAAAUUAUAUAUAUCGAUUGGUGAUAGUCAAAGAUAGAGCUAUAUCUUUGUCUAUCACUAUUGUUCGCGUAAGAUUGUAAACAAAUUCGGUCAAUCAAAGAAGACGAAUAACAAGCACAUGAUUUCUAUAGUUCUUGUCAUUAAUAAAAAAAAAUAAAGUUCUAUUUAUAUCCAUCACUGAUGAAAAUAAAGUUCUAUCACUUACAAUCACAAACAAAAAGAAAGUCACAAUUAAUGGUAUAUUAAGGACAUAGUCGAAUUGUACAAAGUGAUAUAGUUGAACUUCAAUCAAAUGAAUUUGGACGAUAUCCAUAAUUGAUAGAAAAUGAUACACUUAGAACUGAGAUAAAUGUCUACAACAAAGGACAUUGAUUGAAUUGAUAUAGAUGGUUUAAAAAGAGGAAGAAAAUUGUUCUAUCAAUAGUUUAUCACUCGUAAUUCUAACACAUUUAACUAAUACAAUAGUUUAUCAAUUUCCCCUUUAGCUUUAUUAUAUUCUAUAUUAAUCCAAUAAAUUUAAAUAUUUAGUACUAUAUAGUCUUUAUAAUUAAUUUCAGUAGUUAAUUAAUCAAAAUACAUUUGUAUUUUAAACCUAAACAUCUGACUCACUUCUUUCAACUUUAACUACUAAAAAAAUCAAAAUGUAUGCCAUUUGCUUAAAUAAUUUCCUUUAAUUUUGAAAAAAAAUGUUAAACAAAGUUUACUUACUAUUCGACCGAGUGUUUGGGUUAAGGAGUAAAUUAGUUUAGUUAUAGAUUAUUACAACUGUUUAGAAUAAUAUUUACUGAAAAUACAUAAAUUUAAAUUGUACAAUUUAAAUAUAUUGAAUAUGAACUUCAAAUUAUAACUAAAAUAGUAGUCUUUUUAAUUACUAUUUUGAUGGAUGAAUUUUGUAAAAUUGUUCUACUUAGUUUUCUACUUUUAAAAAAAUUACUUCGAUUCUUGCCGAUAGAAUGUACUUCGAAUACAUAAACAAAAGUAACACAUUUAUCAAAUAAAACCAAAAAACUAAUUUUGUUUUUUUUUUCUUUCUAAAAACUCAAAUCUUUACAUCUCGUCAAAUGAGUUAAAUUUUGUAAUAAAAAGUAAAUUGAGAAGCAGUAUUUAGAAACCCCAAAAUGAUUGCAAUAAUUUGGAUGAAUGAAUCCAUGAUGUGGCAUUUAAUUAAAAUGAGUUGGAUUAUGGAUGUUCACAGCAACGUAGAUUAUAUUAGCAUCAAUUUGUAUAACCCAAUAAAUAAAAGAGAAAAGAAAUAGUAACAAAAAGUAGUGAUAGGUCCACAAGUAAUCGUCCUCAGCGUUAUUUCCAAAUACCCAUUUCGGUAUUAUUGCCAAGUUUCCAUUUUCCAAUUUUUUUUUCUAAAUUCAUCCUUCUUCUUUCUUUCUUUUUUUUUUCAAUAAUCAUAUAAUAAUAAUAACAAUAAUAAUUUCUUUUCUUUUGUAGAAAAUAAAAUAAAAUAAAAUAAAAAGGGGUUUUUGGUACUGACAUACUGUAGAGCCACCGUUCCCAAGAGUUUACAUUAAUUGCAAGACAGAGCGACAGAACAGUGCCCUAAAUAUUCAAUAUAAUAUCAAUUCAUUCAUUAAAAUACAAAUAUCAAAUCAUUUCUAUUUUUCUAUUUUUUAAAUUCUUAAUACUAACUAAUACAACAGUUGGCCCUUUCAAACUUCCAAUUUCCCCACACCGCCGUCUACACCGCCCUCUCCGCCGCCCCCUCCACUAUUUUCUUUUUACUCACCAACACCCAAAAUGACUCUUUUUUUUUAACAUUCUUCUAGAGAGAGACACACAGAAAUAUAUAUAUAUAUAUAUAUAUAUAUAUAUAUAUAAUAGAAGUAAAAUAAUAUUAACCCAUUUCAUUAAAUUAAAAAAUAAAUUAGAAAGAAAGAGCAAAAUGUACCUAAAAUGAACAUAAUGGAAAAAGAGAGUGAGAGAGAAGCCAAAAAUUAAGAUUAAGAAAAGAAAGGAAAAAGAAAAGGCAAUUACAAGAGAUUGAGCCGGUCCGCCAAUAUCACCACCAAAACCGCCGCCGCGUCACGGCGGUUCAGAGAUCAAACGCCGGAGGAGCCACGGAGGAGAUAAGCCAGAAGGGUCCUGCAGAAGCUAGUUUUUCUUUUUUUUUUUUGCGCCCACCGUAGAUCCCGCCGUGUUCCUCAUUCUAUUUAAGUCGAUUCCGCCACCGCCACCGCCAGCUCCGUCGCCUCCGCCGCCGCAAGAGGAUGAGACGAGACAUGUGAAAGGGCAAAAGGGGGAAAAUGGAAGAUUUGGGAUAUUUUUUAAAAAAAAUUAAAAUUUUCUUGAGGUGUAAAAAAAUUAACUUGAGAAACACUCAAGGAUGGAAUGUAAAUUUGGGGAGUGGGUCAGAUAUACAAAAGAAUGAUAGUCAAAAGAAAAAUGGAAUAAAAAUCCAAAAUAAACAAGAAGAGAACGAGAGACGAGAAACAUUUGGGUGUUGGGGUUUUUUUUCUUUUCUUUUUGGUUCAAUCUCUCUCUAGUUUCUUUUUGUUGUUUUUUCUCUCUCUAGUUUCUUGUAAAUGGGGUUUUCUCUCUGCUACUGUCAACAGAAGGGAAAAGGGAGAAAUUGGCAAUCAAUGCUUCAUAAGAACAGAAGGAUAAAAUGAUAAAAAAGAAAAAGAAACAAAUUGCAAGUUCUGCUUUUUAUACUCUCAAACUUUAAACUUUCAUUUCUGUAUAAUUGACCUCUCAAAUUUAUAAUAAUUGUAAACUAGUUACACGUAAUACAUAUGUUUUGUACGUUACGAUCUUGUAGUUUUACUUUUAAUUAUUUUUUACACAGUACAACAUUUUUUAUUUUAAUUUUAUGAUAUAUCUACUCUAAAGUGACAUGAAAUGAUACAUUGUGUCCUAGUAUAAAUUACUAUUUUCAUUUGAUUAUAUAUAUGUAUGUAUUCUCUAAACUUUGGAUCUCAUGAAAUAAUUAGAUUUUCGAAUGAUGAAAAUUGAACUCUAAAAAAUUUAUAUAGUUGUUACAACUUUUACAAUUAUGUAAGUUUGAUGAUUUUUGUUUUAACAAUUGUCUAAGAUUGAAGGCUUAAUUUUACUAUUUAAAGGUUUGAACGUUUUGCAAUAACAAUUAUAUUUUAGGGGUGAUUUUUGCAAUUUUUUAAAAAUAAACGUAUUAGUUUUUUUUUUUUGUUAAAUUAAAAUUUUAAUAAUUGUGGUUAUAAAGUUUGAUAAAAGUCUCAUAAACAGUGUUUAUGUUAGGGGCUAGUUAUGAUUUUAUUAAACGAUGGACUAUUUUUAUGAGAUAUGAUUAAAUUAUAUGAAUUAAAAUUUAACUGUUAGAAUCAUAGGAGACUAAAUUUCAAUAUAUUUUUUUCAAAUCAGGUUGACCAAAUUUGUAAUUUAAUUGUUGAUGCCGUAAAAUUUGUUUUAUAGGAAGAUUUGUCUGGGUGCCUGCAAGACAAAUGAAGGUAAGCACAUGUAUGGAGUCUAGUCACACUGUGGCGUUCAAUUUAGUCUUGUGCUUUCGAGUGACUAGACAAUAGAAAAAGUGAUAGGUUAUUUAGGUGUAUUUGGGCAAACCUUUGACUAAUUACCUUUGUUGUUUAUAGAAUACAUUGAUUCAUAGCUGACACUUGGGUCAUAAUUGCGCCUCUCUUAAACUUUCAUUACCGUUGAGUUGAUAAUCAAUUAGUAUUUGCAUUACCAUUGUGAUAGACCAAGAAUGCUCCUAUCAACUCCUUUUAUGACACUUGUCUGUUUGAAAUUUGAUCGGUUUCACAUUCAAUGUUUUAGAGCUCUUUCUUUGUGGGUCCUCUAAGCUGUCCUUGGUACUGCAUUGUGAUCUCCUCUUAACAAUAGGUAAGACUCUCUGGUUGUGGGCUCUCCUUCUGUGACUUCUCUCAAUAGGAUUUCUUUUAGGUUCCGUUGAGCUCGUCUUGAGCUAUCUCCUAGCUCCUAUGAACUUUUACUUCUAUUGAGUUUUCCUUGUGGGUCUUGUGGAGUUGUCUAACCUCUCCUUCAUGAGUGCUCUUCUUGAGCUUUCUCCUAUGCUCCUUUGAGCUGCUUUUCUCGAGCUUGCCUCAUAGGUCCUGCUGGGUUGCCUAAGCUCUCUCCCGGGCUUCUCUCACCUAUUAUUGAGUCUACCUUCCAUAUCCCACAGAGUUGUCUAAGCGCUCUCUCAUAGGUGCUUCUUCUCUUGAGCUCGCCCAUUUUCUCAUCUCACCUCUUUUUAAGCCUACCUUCUAGGUUCUCAUGGAGCUGUCCAAGCUCUCCUCCAUGUGGAUGUGAUGCUCCUCUUGAACUCUCUCUUAGGCUCUUAGAGCCUCUCUUUAGCUCACUCAUGGGUUCACCGAACUCCCUCUAUUAUUGCUUAGGUUUUUCCAUGGGUUCUCUUGUGCAGGCUAAAAUUUACCAAACAACAACUCCUUUUGUUUAUUGAUCUGAUAAUUUUAAUUUUUUUGUUAAUCCGUUCUUUUUAGAACUAAUUUAUGUGAAUGUUUUCCUUUUUCAUAUAAUAAAAAUUUCUAGUGCUCUAACCAAUUAGUUUGCUUUAAAUGUUAACAGAGUCAUAAUCUAACAUUAUUGUUUUCUUUCAUUUAGGAAAAAGUGUCAAAACCAAAGACAAAGUUAACAUAAAAGUCUCAACCACAAACAACAACUAAAAAAUGUCAAAGUUAACAACUACCAACAAACAACAACUAAAAAUUGUAAAAGUUAACACUAAUAGUACUCCCCCAAGCUGAUAACUUUAAGCUCAUUGGAACAAAAAAUCUAUAUUAUAAAGUAAAUUAGUUAUAUUACUUGGUUUUGUUAAAAUACCAAAUUUGGUCCAAUAAUCUUCAGUUGGUUAAAUUUUAGUUAUUAUAAUUAUUUUUAAUAAAUCUUAUAUUUAACUUUCAUAGUUUUUAUUAGGAAAAUUUUAAAUUAUCUAUUAGUAUCCUUACUUUGAAUUUUGAAAGCAUAUCCAAAUAUUGUAUUUUAGAUAAAAUUUUUGUUGAGAAAAAAUUAGUAAAAGUACUGAAAUUAAAAUCAAACAUUUGAAAUUGCAUUAAAAGAUUAAAAAAACAAAUAAAUAAAAUUUUAAAAAUUUAUUUAUAUUUUGUAAAUAGUUUUAUUUUUAUAACAAAAUUCCAUUUAUUUACAUUUGGUUUGUAAAAAUUGACUGAGCAGCUGCCUCCACCUGCAGCCAAAAGGGCACCAAACCCAAUUACUUCACUAAGACCCUACCCUACACCAUAGCCUUGGACCAAUCUUACUUUCAUAUACUUUAAGUCAUACAGUCUUCAUAAGUUGGAGUUUGGAUUGAGAAAUUUUUUCCUCCGAGAAAAACUCUUAUUAAUUGCGGAUUUGUUUGGAUUGAUUUUACAGAAUACGACAUAUUUUAAUUUGGUUUAUUUAAACUGAUUUUACGUCAAAAUUGUUUAAAAUAUACUUAAAAAAUCGUUUUAAAUAACUUUGAUAUUUCAAAUUAAACACUUGAAAAUGUAAUUCAUCCAUGUGAUCAAUCUAACUAAAAAAAAUUGGAUUGAGUUGGUUUGGAUUACUCAAAUCAUUUAUAAAAAUUUUGGUUCUAAAAAGAAAUAAAAAAUUUGAUUUAAGUACUUUUAUAUAUGGAUUCGAGAUUAAUAACUCGGAUUGAUCUUGUAUAAUGAAACUUAUCUUUUGAAAGUGUCAAAAUAUUAUUUUUAGAAGUUGUUUGAGAAUAAAUUUUUAAAAAACAUUAAUGAAAUUAAAUAAUGCUAUAAUAAAUAUAAGGAUCGUUUUAAAGUUAAUGUUAAAUUGGAGUUUGGUUGAGUUAUUUUAGUGAACCCAUGAACCAACCCAGUCCAUAAAUUUUUUGUUUAUUUGAACUCAACCCAAUCAAAAGUUGAUUGAUUUUUUCCAGUUAUUAGAUUUUAUGAACACCACUACUUUAAUAAUUUAUAUUUGUAAUAUUACAUUUUUCUCGGGUUAUUGAUUAUAAAAAAAUAUUUUUUUGGUUCCUAUGUUUUUGGGUUUAUUUUUAUUUAGUCCUUACAUUUCAAAAUGUUACGCAUUUAGUCCUUACGUUUUAGUUGUUGGUUUCAAUUUAGUUUAAAAGUAUCAAAAUGUUAAAAUUUUAUCUUUAAGAUAUGAGUUUUCUUUCAAUUUGGUCCAUAGAUUUCAAAAUCUACAUUUUUAACAUAAAUUUUUCAUUAUAUACUCACCUUUAAAUAUUGAUGCUAAUAUUCAGAGAGCUUUUGCAAAAAUAGCAAAAAAAAUUAUAAGAAUAAAGGCCUAUAUCACUACAUUGUCUAAAAUUCAAAAGUUACAAAUUUAAAAGUCGAUAACUCUGAUAUCCAGAAACAGGUUCACGAAUACCAUCAAUAUCCACUGGAGGAGCAGCAAUGAAGGCAAUAAUAAAUACAGAAGUUGCGGUCAAUAAGGUAGGGAUCAUCAAAACACCAAACCAUCCAAUGUAAAGACGGUUUUCAGUGCUGGUUAUCCAGUUACAGAAACGACCCCAUAGGCUUUCGCUUUCGCGUCUCUCUAAAAUUCAUUUGAUAUCACUAAUUUUGUUGCAAUAU